This 51444-nucleotide long non-coding RNA is filed under the name Triticum aestivum (bread wheat). Its description in RNAcentral is "long non-coding RNA (TAES_LNC023606)". The record is from RNAcentral. Lineage: Eukaryota; Viridiplantae; Streptophyta; Magnoliopsida; Poales; Poaceae.
CCACCGCGGCACAUCCUCUCCAGGUCACCGGAUCUGGCGGAGAUCCCUUCCCUUCAUAUCUAUACAUCCCCACCCCCCUUAGGAUGCCGGUGUCUCGUCGAGAAAACCUUGACUGCUUUAGGCCUCCAUGCAAUCAAGGGAGCACAUGUGAACAGCCUAGAAAAGAAAUCUGGAGGCAAGAAUAGUUGUAAGUUCUCCCACGGCUGCUCUUCUAUUUUUUUACUUGAUUUGCUUGUUCUCUCUCUGCAAUUUGAAUGUGCUAGACGAUUGAUCUGAUGCAGUUAUUAGAGCAAGCCUGUUAUAGUUUGGCACUGUUGAUUGUCUCCAUUAUCCGCUGAAUUAAUAGAAGUACACAAUUGACAAUGUUUUAAUGACAAUUUGUAACUAUGUGGAUAUUAAAUUUGUUCCAUUUUUACGCACUUCUUUUGCAUGAUUUAGUUAUCUCUUUCCUAGACUGAUAUGUAAACAUUAGAAUUUGGAAUGAUAUGUGCCAUUCUGCAGGUUAUCAGACAUGUUCACUAAAAUCUUUCAUUGUCUUUUCUUAUUGUUGUUGCAUGUCUCUAUCCUAUUAUGGUUGCCAGAUUCUGUGUAAUCUUUCUCUCUACUUUUACUUCCUGAUUCUCUAGAUGUAUAUUAGAAUGAUAGCUGAGAACAUGUCUGAUCUUCAGAAGCAAGACAAGUCAGAAGAUGAUAGCCCAGUGUUUUUCCCUUUGUUUUCCUACAUAUCAUCCAAUUAAUGAAUUAUUUGGUAGGUCUUCAUUUUACUUGCAAGAUAGUUAAGACCAGAAUACUGAUUGUAAAUAGAGCAGAUUAUUUUAAUGAAUUAUUUUGCUGUAGAUAUCUGCAGUGGUAUCCUUUGCUAUGUUCGUAUAGGCAGAACCAAAGAAACAAACUUAACAACCUCUAAUUAGUGUAACAUUAAUACCGACGUUUAUCAAAUUUGAAUAUAAGAAAUGGCGCGUAAGGAUACAUGGAGCAGAUUUUUGCAAGAUUCUACGCCCGUUGCAAUGCACGGGCAUUUGUACUAGUAUAUAUUAAAAAAAAGCUUAGGCACUCCAUGACGGAGUGCUAUUUAGCAAGUCAAGCAGUUUUGUGCGAUCAGGGGUGAUGAGGCCCGAGAGCAGCUUUUCCUUUUUUCCUUUUUGAGCGGUGGCACUAACAAAGUACUAAAACGGUACUACGUUUUUUUUGUUUCCGACAACUCCUCGACCAAAAGUGUGCACCUCUUGUCUAGGGCAAACGAAAAGCCCAACACUGGGACGUCUGAAUUGGGCUCGAUGGGAGGCAAACCCUAUUUUUCGUCUGAGCUGGGCUCGGCCCAUUUCGUUCGCAUCUCUUUCGCUCGCGUAUUCAUCAAAGCGCAAAAAUUCCGCGAGAGCAAAAAUUCCGCUAGAGGUGAGAAUCGAACCAAGGAUUCCUGGUUCAGAGCGCACUGUGGUAACCACCCUGCCAAAGGACCUUACCGCAAUAAAUUAAAUCUCCUUUUCACCUUAUCAUCUUCUCUUUCGUUUUUCUCCGUUUUUUUUCCAUUUUUUCUUGUUUUCUGUUUUAUUUUUCCUUCUUCCUCGUUCCAUGAUUUUUUCAAAUACAUCCACGUUUUCUUAAAUUUACGAACUAUUUUUCUAAUUCAAUGAAAUUUUUUCACAUUUGAUAAACUUUUUUUUCAAUUCGAUGAGCUUUUUCCAAAUCCGAUGGACUUUUUUAAAAUUUGAUGAACUUUUUGUCAAGAUUGAUGAAUAUUUCCUUUAAAUUUGUGAAUUUUUUCCGAAUCGAUGAACUAUUUUUUCAAACUCGAUGAACUUUUUUCAAAACCGAUAUUUUUUUUCAACCGACGAACAUUUUUUUUAAUGAUGAACUCUUUCUUCAAAAUGAUAAAAAUUUUAAAAAAAAAAUCCAAAAUCGAUGAACUUUUUUUAAGUUUGUGAAAUUUUGUCUCAAAAUCGAUGAACUUUUUAAAAUUCAUGAUUUUAUACAAGUAAAUAAAAAUGAUAAAUAAAUAGCGCGGCUAUACUACUUCAUGCAUAGUUAGCGCAAUUAAAAUCACAAGUGUCCAAUCAAUGUGGUUGUCAGCUAUGCUCGAAGAAGCCUUGCCUGCGCGAGCGAUGCGAGUUCGAUUCCUGAAGCAGCGACAUUUUUGCGUUUUUCUGGUGAUUUCUGUUCGCUGCCUUUCCCAUCGCGGGUUAGCCCAAAAAGGCGCUGCAGCGGGCGCCGAAGAGGAGCUCGCUGAUGGGAGCUCCUAUUUCGUGUGCAUGCAUUUUGCCAGCCCUGUUUUCUUUUCGUUAAAUUUCUAUUUUCUGUUUUUUCUUUUAUAUAAUUUUUUUGGGGUUUAAAAAUAAUUCGGCAUUUCAAAUAUGGUUGGGAUCUCAAAAAUAAAUAAAUAAUGUGAAUGAGUUUGAAAAAUUGUUCUUGNNNNNNNNNNNNNNNNNNNNNNNNNNNNNNNNNNNNNNNNNNNNNNNNNNNNNNNNNNNNNNNNNNNNNNNNNNNNNNNNNNNNNNNNNNNNNNNNNNNNNNNNNNNNNNNNNNNNNNNNNNNNNNNNNNNNNNNNNNNNNNNNNNNNNNNNNNNNNNNNNNNNNNNNNNNNNNNNNNNNNNNNNNNNNNNNNNNNNNNNNNNNNNNNNNNNNNNNNNNNNNNNNNNNNNNNNNNNNNNNNNNNNNNNNNNNNNNNNNNNNNNNNNNNNNNNNNNNNNNNNNNNNNNNNNNNNNNNNNNNNNNNNNNNNNNNNNNNNNNNNNNNNNNNNNNNNNNNNNNNNNNNNNNNNNNNNNNNNNNNNNNNNNNNNNNNNNNNNNNNNNNNNNNNNNNNNNNNNNNNNAAUAUAUGUUAACAAUUUUAGAAAAGUUUCACGAAUUAGUAUGAAAUGCCCUUAAAUUUGAAAUAUGUUCACGGGUACAUAAAAAUGUUCAUGAAUUUGAAAAGUUCAUUAUUUUGAAAAAUGUUCACAAAAUUUUGAAAAUGUGUAGUGUUGAACUUUUUAAUGCAUUUAUCCAAUAUGUAAUAGAAUAAUUUAAUGCAUGUUGAACUAUUUUUAAAUACACAUUGCCAAUUUUUUAAUGCAAGAAUAACAUUUUCCAAAAACACGUUAUAAUUUUUUAAUACAUGUGUAAGAUUUUCCAAAAACAUGUUGAACAUUUUUUAAAUGUACUAACGCUUUCUAUAAUUUUAUGGAAAUUGUAAUUUUCUCUUACAUUUCUUUUUAUGAAUGGUAAAAAUAAUAUGAACAUAAAAAUAAAGAACUUGAAAAAAUAGAAAUAAAACUUGUGCGGGUCCAUAGAAGCGCCAUAUAUAAAAAGAAUUGCAUGAAGAUGUACAUAGCAACCAAAGUGGAUUUUUGGAGCACGGUGGCCACGAAGCACGUUUCUAAAACCAGCACUUAAAAGUUUCAAAAGGAGUUGAUUGUUUUCACACAAAAACGUAUGCAUUUGCUCUAAGUGACUUUCAAAUUUUGCUCAAUAUUACUUAUCUUUUUAUCUCUCACAUAAAAGCUUAGAUUUUGAUUAAAAAAACCUGAAUGUGUUACACUUCUAUGUGUGCAUGUACAAAAAAAUUAGAAAUAUUUUAGCUGUAAAAAUCCGUUUCUUUGAACUUUGAAAAAAAACACAAUAUGCCCGUGCUCCAAAGUUACUAUUUGCAUAUCAAUGCAAUAUAUAGAGUUCGACCUCUUCAAUAUGAAUUGAGCAUAGUAUGGCACGGUGGAGAACCUCUGUCUGCAAUGCAGUUGGUGAUCACGAGGGCUCCUGCAUCACGCAUUUUCUCCUACGUGAUUAAAUAAAAUAUGAGGGUGUUUUGUACAAAAAAAUUCCUGACACUCGGGCCACCCAGCGCCUUCCGAGCUUUGAGCCACUCAUGCCACGGAUACGGAUGGAGGCACCGGAUUUGCACGUCCGAAUAAGUUCACAUGUUGUGUUCUUGCAAUAGCAAUUACUACUAUAUAUUGCAGUUCAAUUUUUUGUAACCUAUCGUGUAUAUCUUCUGAACUCGGAAAAAAACCAUGUCGGAGUGGUGUGGGCAUGUCAAGUUUUUCACUCAGGGCACAUUGACACCUGAGAGCCGCCUGCAUGGCAAGUUGUACUACGAUCAUGGCGUCAGACCCUGAGAUCUACUUGCAUGCCUAUUAACCAAUUAGACUGCUGGUUGUUGUUUUUUGAGAUAGCUUACCAGGCUUGCUGCCUGGUGACCACCACGUCACGAAACAUGCAUAUAAACUGCGGCCAUCUCCUCUCCGUAAGCGAUGUGGGCCUAAUAAAAACCGUACUGUAUUGUAAUAUCAUAUCGACAGCAUCAACCGUACUGUAUUGUAUAGUAAUAUCAUAUCAACAUCACACGUGUGCGCCUUGAUACGGCCCAAACGAAACGAAAAGCCCAGUGCCAUAAUAAUCGUGUGAACCACCGGCCGUCAGCCCAGCUCGUGGACUGACAUCGUUCUCGUGUUGAUUUGCUAGGUAUCUUCUCGGGGUCUCCGUGGUGGCGUUCGUCUACUCUGUGGCCACCUUUCUUGAUUUUGCCGGCGAUCGGGUGAAGUGCAGAGAACCUUACUAUGACCAUUUUUGAUGCAGCUAGGGAGCUGUGCGGUGACUAGCUGGCAGCUUAAGUUUACUUAGCCGAGUAUGUACGCAUGUGUGUGUGCACUGUGCAGUUCUAACAAUCACGUACUAACUGCCUUGUGAUCUGCUUAGCUAGCCAAUCCAGCGAGCACAAAAAAGAUAGGGGAAAAAAAGAACAAAGUUCAGAGUUGCUCGUGGCAUCUGAAGAUAGGAUCACUCACGUAUAGCUAUGAGACGUACGCGCUAGCCAACUGCGCCACCACCCCAAUGUUGUUUGCUACCUAAUGACAGCCUUACAAAGGCUUGCUUAUUCGAUGGUGCUUGAAACCCCGGUUACUUACAUGCCAAGACUGGAUGGGUACAAGUUGAUAAAUUCAAUCUGCAGAAGUGGGCGAUGCUAUAUGAAAUUCAUCUUGGAGAAAAGGUGCAAGCAAACAUAUUCUUCUUGAUGCUUCUUUCUUACAUAGAGAAGAAUAUGGACAUAGAUGUACACAACCCUUGAUGGGUUCCACUGCCUCAUGUUGGCGGCGCCGCCGGUCCGGCUCGUCUCCGGUGGCCUUAGAGGUAUGGUGGCGCGAUGGAUCCCGGUCCUUGACGGCGGGAGGGCUCUAUUUGUAGAUAUUUCUUCGUAUUUUGUUAGGGUUUGUGUCCUGCUCAGGAAGACAAGACAACGAGGCUUCUCUGAAGAUGAAACAAUGUUCUCCCUGCCUAGCCCCUGUCCCAGUGGAGCGUUUAGCAUCGUUGGUGGAUAUGUGGAGGUGUGUCUCCGACUGAUUUGAAUUUGCUUGAAUCUAGUCAUAGUUCGUCUACGUUCGCGUGUCUUGAGGUUCGAUCCUUCCAAUCUAUUCUUCAACAGCGACGGUUGCUAUUCUGGGCGCUGGUCAUAUGGGGGCUUAGCAUGACGACUUCCCGACUGUCUACUACAACAACUAUUGUCCAGCUCUGGCAAGGGAGGGGCGAUGACAGCAGCACGCUUUAGGCUCGCUUCAAUGCUUGUAGUCGUCGCUAGGUGGUUUACGGAUCUGGAUGUAAUUUUUUUUAUUUUUUAUGUUUGCUGUACUGCCAUGAUUGAAGAUGUAUAGAUAAAAAAAUCCAAAAAAAAGAUGUACAUUACUCUAGGUAAGGGCAUCUCCAGCGCAGACCCCCAAACAUCGAAUUUGUCCGUGGACCGGUGGAGAGGGGGACCAAUACGCGGAAACUGAUGUGGGACCAAAGGAGACGAAUUACAUGCAAACCAGAUAAUUUUCAUCUAAACCAGACGAAAUCAUUUAUAUUUCAGACAUAUUUGAACUAAAAUAUAGCUGACUAGGCUAGCCUAUUCCAACCUAUUCUACGACCGGCCUUCUCGACGCCCGUUUCCCACCCCAUAUCUUCCCUAUGUCCAGCAACAAGCUUACAGGAACGCCGUGAGCCCUAGAGAAUAUGCUUCGGCAGGAGGGGAAGAAUAACAUCCGCCUCCAUGAAGCCCAAAUCAGUGGUUGGUUUUAGAACGGUGGAAGACGGUGAUGGUGGCCUAUGCCUUCACGAACUGGGCAAGACGCCGGCUAUGUGGCCCGGCGCAACGGCGUGGUGGCCUUUUUGGGACCCGAGCGGGGCGGUGGCCGCCUUUGGUCUACUCAUCCUCGCUGCCAGUGGUGCCCACGGAUGUGCCGGCUUCAUCAUCAUGGCAGCUGGGCGCGACCGACACGGAGCUAGCAGUGUCGUCCGUGCCGUCGUAAACUUGCGUCACCGCCUCGUCGAUCUCCGCAUAGGCGGCUUCUUUCUCUGCCCGCAAGAUGCGAUGCCGCAUUUGCUCGUGGUGGAUUUCGCGGGUGGCGCAGUAGGACAUGAGCAAAGCGUCCUGCUCGUGCACGUCCACGUCCACCAUGAUGACUACGUCAUCGACUUGCACCUCUAUGUGCCAUUGCUUGUCCGCCACGAUGCCCUUGUCGUCCUCUCGUGCCUCGCCCAUGGUGAUGCCGGCUGGACCAGCGAUGGGGGUGGCAUCGGCUUUUCCUCCGUUGGCUCGUGAGCGUCGCAGCCAUCCAGAGAGCUCGCUGGAAAGCGAGCAUGUAUCCGGCUAGCUCAACAGGCCAGCCAUCUAGCUGCAAUACCCGAGAGCUCCUUAUUCUGCUCGCCAGUGAUGUCGUGUCACGGGGCUUCAGAGCUCGAGGCCAUGGCGGGUGCACAUAGGAGAUGGAGAGCGGAGCUGUGGUGCAGCUUUUGCCCAAAGCCUGGCCAGUGGCCACGUUUAAAUAGCGGGCAGAUGCCAUGUCGCUCGGGGCGUCGGAGUAGGUUUCUCGGCUGGCACUCCAGUUUAAUGGAGGAAGGUAAGGACCGGAUAUGUUGCUUCAAUGCGGAGAGAAGGCGAAUGCAGCGGGCGACGAUGUCGGUUGGUGUGCCGCUUCACUGCCGGCUCUAGAGAGGUUGCGUCCGCUUUGGGCAGGCAUGAAUGCGGCGCUGAUUGCUACGGGCGAGAAAGCGCGCGGCGAGGGAGAGUGUUUUGGGUGGCCAAUUUGUCAGAGGCGUGGAUGGGAGCGGUCCGGACUCCCUCAAACCCCUCUCCCCUCGGGUUUGCGGAAAAAAUGAUGUCCACACUGGCAACGAACGGAUAUAUGACCCCGUUGGAUGGCAAAACAUGUUUCGAUCGCACGGUCUGAACGUGUGCGGUCUGAGGGUCUGCGUUGGAGAUGUCCUAAUGUGCAUAUUUACAAGUGUGUUUGUCGUCAUUUUUAUGAUCUCUGUUGCUUUUUACUGUGAUUUUUCUUUUCUUUUUUUGCACGAGAUUUUUACUGUGAUAAGUAGAGCCUACUUCUAGCAGUAGGCAGCAAGGAAGAAAGCUAGGAGGUCAAUAUGUGAUGUUCAUUGAGACGUAGCCAAAGAGCCGCAAGCAUAUCAUACUUUGACACAUGUAUUCACAAACACAAUGAAUCGUUGACAGAUGUUGCUAUCCAUCGGGUUGAGUGGAGCUGAAUCACCGUCUAGUUCAUUUCACUAGAGUAGCAAAAUCUCUAACAUUUUGAUUUCCCUUUCAAGAUAACAAUCCUGUAUGUAUACAUCUUUUGACAGUCGAAAUAUAUAUUAAAAAAAAAAAGCUUAGGCAUUCCAUGACAGAGUGCUAUUUAGCAAGUCAAGCGGUUUUGUGUGAUCAGGGUUGAUGAGGCCUGAGAGCGGCUUGGCUACCAAUCCUAUUCUAUCGGGCUCAUCAUACCCUGAGAACUGCUCGCAAGCUUACAGAUACGUCAAUUAUCCAUGAUGCUUUUAUAAUAGCUUAUCAGGCUUCCUGCCUGGUGAACACCUAGUCACGACAUUGUAACGUUCGAUAGCACACAGGUGUUCCUCCAAUAUUUAGGAGUUGCAUAAUUUCAUAGUCAGAGGAAUAUGUAUAAGUCAUGAAGAAAGCAAUAGCAAUAAAACUAAACGAUCAUAAUGCUAAGCUAAUGGACGGGUCUUUUCCAUCACAUCAUUCUCUAAUGAUGUGAUCCCGUUUAUCAAAUGACAACACAUGUCUAUGGUCAGGAAACUUAACCAUCUUUGAUUAACGAACUAGUCAAGUAGAGGCAUACUAGGGACACUCUGUUUGUCUAUGUAUUCACACAUGUAUCAAGUUUCCGGUUAAUAUAAUUAUAGCAUGAAUAAUAAACAUUUAUCAUGAUAUAAGGAAAUAUAAAAUAAUAAUUUUAUUAUUGCCUCUAGGGCAUAUUUCCUUCACCUGCUUCACCCUGCCUAUGGAGGGAAGGAGACGGCGAGGUAAUCGGAAACAAAGAAAAAUGGAUAAGUGAAGUUGGACAUCAAGACAUCAGUACGUACAUAUGUGCUACCUUCUGUUGAUGUUCUUCCUCCUCUGUUUCUAUGCUAGGGGAAUUGCGACAUGUGAGCAGUUGGCACUGCCUUGGCCCAGGCUUGGGCUCACGGGAGGCGGGCAACGCCUACGCUAGCUACGAAAGCUCAUGUCCUGCCGCUGGGCAUGGCCACGAUCACCGGCUGCGGACCUCACCUCCGGGAAUUCUCUCUCGUGGAAGCUCAAAGUCAGAAGAAUCAUGGUCGCUUAGUGACUGCUACAAAGAGAUAGAAUUUUCAGUAAAUUAAGAAAAACAAAAAUUAAGCCAACUAAGUGUUGGGACCUACGAGGACAAGUGUCAGCCACCGGUUGGCCCUGCAGCAUAGUGCGUGCAGGGCUCCCAGCAGGAGAGCCCGACCCCUUGCUAUUUAGCAUGCGAAGGGAACUGAACCCAAGGAAUUGGAACGAACGGCUCUUAGAGAUAUUUUUUUUCUGAAACUCGAAAUAUAUAUAAGAAAAAACUUAGGCAAUCCUGUAUAUAUACAUCUUCUGACAGUCGAAAUGUAUAUUAAAAAAAAGCUUAGGCACUCCAUGACGGAGUGCUAUUUAGCAGGUCAAGCAGUUUUGUGGCUGCCUAAUCCUAUUCUAUCGGACUCAUCAUACCCUGAGAACUGCCCGCAAGCUUGCAGAUACGCCAAUUAUCCAUGAUGCUUUUUCAUAGCUUACCAGGCUUGCUGCGUGGUGAACACCUAAUCACGACGCGUGCAUAUAAACAGCUUCCGUCGGCUCUCCCUAAGCGAUGUGGCACUAAACCACUUUUUUCCUUUUUGAGCGGUGGCACUAACAAAGCCCAACACUGGGACGUCUGAAUUGGGCUCGACGGGAGACAAACCGUAUUUUUCGUCUGAGCUGGGCUCGGCCCAUUUCGCUCGCGUAUUCAUCAAAGCGCAAAAAUUCCGCGAGAGGUGAGAAUCGAACCAAGGAUUCCUGGUUCAGGGCGCACUGUGGUAACCACCCUGCCACAGGAACUUGAUGCGAUAAGUUCAAUCACCUUUUCACCUUAUCAUCUUUCCUUUCGUUUUUCUCUGUUUUAGGUUUUUCAUUUUUUCUGUUUUCUGUUUUUUUCUAUUUUUUUCCUUCAUCGUUCCAUGUUUUUUUAAAUACAUCCACGUUUUCUUAAAUUGACGAAAAAAAAUCUAAUUCAAUAAAAAAUUCACAUUUGAUAAACUUUUUUAAAUUUGAUGAGCUUUUUCCAAAUCUGAUGAACUUUUUGUCAAGAUUGAUGAAUUUUUCCUUUAAAUUUGUGAACUUUUUUCCAAAUCUAUGAACUAUUUUUUCAAACUCGACGAACUUUUUGUCAAAAACGAUAUUUUUUUUAAAACCGAUGAACAUUUUUCUGAAAAUGAUGAACUCUUUCUUCAAAAUGAUGAACUUUUUAAACUUUUUUCCAAAAUCGGUGAACUAUUUCUCAAAAUCGAUGAACUUUUUUUAAGUUGGUGAAAUUUUGUCUCAAAAUCGAUGAACUUUUUUAAAUUCAUGAUUUUAUCAAAGUAAAUAGAAAUAAAUGAUAAAUAAAUAGCGCGGCCAUACUACUUCAGGCAUAGUUAGCGCAAUUAAAAUCACAGGUGUCCAAUCAUUGCAGUAGUCAGCUAAGCUCAAAGAAGCCUUGCCUUUGCGAGCGAUGCGAGUUCGAUUCCUGAAGCAGCCACCUUUUGCGUUUUUCUGGCAAUUUCUGUUAGCUGCCUUUCCCGUCGCGGGCUAGCCCAACAAGGCGCUGCAGCGGGCACCAGGAACCUGUUCGGGCGCUUAAGGCGCCGAACAGGAGCUCCUAUUUCGCGCGUGCUUUUGGCCAGCCCAUAAGGGCGCGGUGCCCCUGUUUUCUUUUCGUUAAUUUUUUAUUUUCUUUUUUUCUUCUAUAUAAAUUUUUUUGAGGUUUAAAAACAGUUCCGCACUUCAAAUAUGAUUGGGAUUUAAAAAAUAAAGAAAUAAUGUGAAUGAGUUUGAAAAAUUGUUCUUGAAUUCAAAAAAAAUGUUCAUAUAAUUUACAAAAGAGCAUGAAUUUAAUAAAAAAUCGCAAAUUUAAUAUAUGUUAACAAUUUCAGAAAUUGUUCUCGAAUUUGAAAGAUGUCCACGGGUACAUAAAAAUGUUCAUGAAUUUGAAAAGUUCAUUAUUUUGAAAAAUGUUCACAAAAUUUGGAAAAAAUAUGUUUGAAAAAUAGAAACUAAAAAAGAAAAAAAGAAAGGACUGAACGAAAAUGAAAAAAGUGAAAAAAACACAAAAAGAAGAGAAAACACGGUCUGGGAAGGUAUAGAACCUUCCCAAGAACCGGGAAAAAGCUAAUUGGGCUGGCUCAAAAAUGUACACGCGGGGAGCUAGGGGUGCGCGCAUGGUCGCUAACCAGUGACUCGUGCGCCAAAUAGCAUUGGUCCAAGCAUGAAAACGGAGCAGUAAACAGAGCACGGACCUCUCAAAACAAAAAAUAUUGAUAAGAUACAAUCGUUCAUGCCAAUUCAGCAAUAAAGCAGGGGAUUCGUUAAGCCAACAUGCGGUGCUAUCCCCACGACGACCAUAAUCCACUAAGAAGCGUGCAACUCGAUUUUGUUCACGAGAAAUCAUAAAAGGAUUAAAUACCCUAUUCUCCAGCAAGCCCUUCAUCACAGCAAUAACUAGAUGAUACCACGUGUGUUGCUGCAGGAAAUAUUGCCUAAAAUUGGUAUUUUACCCAUCAAUUGACUCUCCUAAAAAGAUAGAUAAAACGAAGAAUAAAUGAUUCUUAUUUGAGCAUACUUUAGGAUAAUACAUAGGUAACUAAGAUCAAACCUCCAACUUAUAUCAUUGAAAGCUUGGACGGGGGAGGCUAGUAUAUGAUCUCACAUUAGGUGAGAUCAAUGAGAUCAAUUACAAAAAUUUAUAUUUAGACAUUUCAAAAAGUUCUGAAAUUAUUUGACAACAUAUCUACGGGGUGUGUCGAUAACUCUGGAAAGAAACAGCUCAAAAAUUGAUGUACAGUUAGAGAAUUAAAAAAGACAAAUUCGAAUGUGAAUAGUGGAGCUUUGGGUGAACAGUAUUUUGACAUUAUUCACAUCCGAUUUCUCUUUUUUGUUUCUAUUAGUGUAGGUCAAAUUAGGAGCUAAAACUUUUUUUAGAUUGUACAUCAAACAUUGAUGUGUGUCUACAAUUCAUAAGCCCGGAUGCCGCAAGCGCGUUUCGCAGCUACCGCGGCCUCUUCCAUGUGUGGGGUCACUUCAAUGACCUCAUCCACGCGUGCAGCCAUGACAGUUGUGCCCUCUUCCUCGCAUUCAUUUACCAGAGAGUAGUCCCAUCAUAGUGAAAAGCUUGUCAUUAUGUAUGGUCCACUGUUCAUUCGAGAUAGGGAGAAGAUCACCAAUCUGAACUACAUCUACAACAGCAAUGAUGUAGAGGUUGUGAACAUGCUUCAAAUGUGAAGAGCAUCAUUUUCCAUGCUUGUGAAUACCUUUGGAGCACGGGGCUACCCGAAGAUAGCAUCCACACCACUGUGGAAGAGCAAGUUGCCAUGUUCCUUCAUGUCGUCGAUCAUAAUCAAAGGUUCAUGAUUAUUCACAACACAUAAAAGAGAUCUAGUGAAACAAUUUCCCGACAUUUCAAGCAAGUCUUUAUGAUAUUAGGGAGUUCGGAGGAGAGAUGAUCAAGGCACCAAUCGGGCAAACUUCGCACAAGAUUCACACUAGCACAAGAUGGUAUCAGUAUUUCAAGGUGAGCAUUACUCGUAUUUCAUGCCAUAACAUGCUUGCAAUGUUGUCAUCAACCAUAAUAAUACGUUUUCAUGCCAUCAUAGGAUUGUAUUGGCGCCAUAGAUGGUACUCACAUCACUGAUAGAGUGCCGAGGACACAAGAUGCAACAUACAUGGGUAGAAAGCACUACAUAAGCGAGGCUUGUUGCUCUUGACUUCGAUCUAAAGUUCACAUAUGUGUUGACUGGUUGGGAAGGAUGAGCCCAUGAUGCUAACAUUCUUGCUGACAGCAUGGCAAUGCCUGAUGGCAUCUAUAUCCCCGAUUGCAAGUUAUACCUAGGAGAUGCUUGUUGGGGAACGUAGUACUUCAAAAAAAUUGCCUACGAUCACGCAAGAUCUAUCUAGGAGAAGCAUAACAACGAGCGGGGAGAGUGUGUCCACAUACCCUCAUAGACCGAAAGCGGAAGCGUUUAGUAAUGUGGUUGAUGUAGUCGAACGUCUUCGCGAUCCAACUGAUCCAAGUACCGAACGCAUGGCACCUCCACGUUCUGCACACGUUCAGCUCGGUGACGUCCCUCGAACUCUUGAUCCAGUUGAGGCCGAGGGAGAGUUUCAUCAUCACGACGGCGUGGUGACGGUGAUGAUGAAGUUACCGGCGCAGGGCUUCGCCUAAGCACUACGACGAUAUGACCGAGGCGUGAAACUGUGGAGGGGGGCACCGCACCCGGCUAAAAGACCAACUUGUGUGUUCUAGGGUGCCCCCCUCCCCACGUAUAUAAAGGAGGGAGGGGGAGGCCGGCCGGUCCUAGGGGGCGCGCCUAAGGAGGGGAGUCCUGAAGGAAAUAUGCCCUAGAGGCAAUAAUAAAGUUGUUAUUUAUAUUUCCUUAUAUCAUGAUAAAUGUUUAUUAUUCAUGCUAGAAUUGUAUUAACCGGAAACUUAGUACAUGUGUGAAUACAUAGACAAACAGAGUGUCCCUAGUAUGCCUCUACUAGACUAGCUCGUUAAUCAAAGAUGGUUAAGUUUCCUAGCCAUAGACAUAUGUUGUCAUUUGAUGAACGGGAUCACAUGAUUAGAGAAUGGUGUGAUGGAUAAGACCCAUCCGUUAGCUUAGCAUAAUGAUCAUUUAGUUUAUUGCUAUUGCUUUCUUCAUGACUUAUACAUGUUCCUAUGACUAUGAAAUUAUGCAACUCCCGAAUACCGGAGGAACACUUAGUGUGCUAUCAAACGUCACAACGUAACUGGGUGAUUAUAAAGAUGCUCUACAUGUGUCCCCGAUGGUGUUUGUUGAGUUGGCAUAGAUCGAGAUUAGGAUUUUUCACUCCGAUUGUCGGAGAGGUAUCUCUAGGCCCUCUCGGUAAUGCACAUCACUAUAAGCCUUGCAAGCAAUGUGACUAAUGAGUUAGUUGCGGGAUGAUGCAUUACGGAACGAGUAAAGAGACUUGCCAGUAACGAGAUUGAACCAGGUAUGAUGAUACCGACGAUCGAAUCUCGGGCAAGUAACAUACCGAUGACAAAGGGAACAACGUAUGUUGUUGUGCGGUUUGACCGAUAAAGAUCUUCGUACAAUAUGUAGGUACCAACAUGAGAAUCCAGGUUCCGCUAUUGGUUAUUGACCGAAGAUGAGUCUCGGUCAUGUCUACAUAGUUCUCGAACCCGUAGGGUCCGCACGCUUAACGUUCGAUGACGAUAUGUAUUAUGAGUUUUGUGAUUUGAUGUAUCGAAGGUAGUUCGGAGUCCCGGAUGUGAUCACGGACAUGACGAGGAGUUUCAAAAUGGUCGAUACAUAAAGAAUGAUAUAUUGGACGAUGUUAUUCGGACACCGAAUGAGUUCCGGGGGUCAUGGGAUAAAUAUCGGAGUGUCGGAAGGGUUAUCGGAUCCACCGGAGAAGUAAUGGGCCUUAUUGGGCCAAGGGGAGAGAGACAGGGGCAGCCAAGGGCUGGCCGCGCGCCCCCCAUGGGCCUAGUCCGAAUUGGACUAGGGGAAGGGGCGGCGCCCCCUCCUUCCUUCUCUUUCCCCUCUCCUUCCUUCUUCUCCUAGUUGGACUAGGAAAGGGGGGAUCCAACUCCUACUUGGAGUAGGAUUUCCCCCCUUGGGCGCGCCCUAUGAGGGUCGGCCGGCCUCCCCUUUGCUCCUUUAUAUACGGGGGCAGGGGGCACCCCAGAGACACAAGUUGAUUUUUAGCCGUGUGCGGUGCCCCCCUCCACAGAUUUCCACCUCUGUCAUAUUGUCGUAGUGCUUAGGCGAAGCCCUGCAUCGGUAACUUCAUCAUCACCGUCACCACGCCAUCGUGCUGACAAAACUCUUCCUCGGCCUCAACUGGAUCUAGAGUUCGAGGGACAUCACCGAGCUGAACGUGUGCAGAUCGCGGAGGUGUCAUGCGUUCGGUACUUGAUCGGUUGGAUCGCAAAGACGUUCGACUACAUCAACCGCGUUACUUAACGCUUCCGUUUUCGGUCUACGAGGGUGCGUGGACACACUCUCCCUGCUCGUUGCUAUGCUUCUCUAGAUAGAUCUUGCGUGAUCGUAGGCAAAAUUUUGGAAUACUACGUUCCCCAACAGUGGCAUCCGAGCUAGGUCUAUGCAUAGAUGUUAUAUGCACGAGUAGAACACAAAGAGUUGUGGGCGAUAAUAGUCAUACUGCUUACCAGCAUGGCAUACUUUGAUUCGGCGGUAUUGUUGGAUGAAGCAGCCCAGACCAACAUUACAUGACCGCGUUCAUGAGACUGGUUCUACCGCCGUGCUUCGCACACAGGUGGCUAGUGGGUGUCUGUUUCUCCAACUUUAGUUGAAUCGACUGUGACUACGCCCAGUCCUUGCUGAAGGUUAAAAAAGCACACUUGACAAAAAAUCGUUGUGGUUUUUAUGCGUAGGUAAGAACGGUUCUUGCUAAGCCCGUAUCAGCCACGUAAAACUUGCAACAACAAAGUAGAGGACGUCUAACUUGUUUUUGCAGGGCUUGCUGUGAUGUGAUAUGGUCAAGACGUGAUGAUAUAUAAAUUGUUGUAUGAGACGAUCAUGUUUUGUAACAGUUAUCAGCAACUGGCAGGAGCCAUAUGGUUGUCGCUUUAUUGUAUGAAAUGCAAUUGCCAUGUAAUUGCUUAACUUUGUCACUAAGCGGUAGCGAUAGUCGUAGUAACAAUAGUUGGGGAGACGACAACGAUGCUUCGAUGGAGAUCAAGGUGUCAAGCCGGUGACGAUGGUGAUCAUGACGAUGCUUUGGAGAUGGAGAUCAAAGACACAAGAUGAUGAUGGCCAUAUCAUAUCAGUUAUAUUGAUUGCAUGUGAUGUUUAUCCUUUAUGCAUCUUAUUUUUCUUAGUACGGCGGUAGCAUUAUAAGAUGAUCCCUCACUAAAUUUCAAGGUACAAGUGUUCUCCCUGAGUAUGCACCAUUGCGACAGUUCGUCGUGCCGAGACACCACGUGAUGAUUGGGUGUGAUAAGCUCUACGCUCACAUACAACAGGUGCAAGCCAGUUUUGCACACGCAGAAUACUCGGGUUAAACUUGACGAGCCUAGCAUAUGCAGAUAUGGCCUCAGAAUACUGAGACCGAAAGGUCGAGCGUGAAUCAUAUAGUAGAUAUGAUCAACAUACUGAUGUUCACCAUUGAAAACUACUCCAUCUCACGUGAUGAUCAGACAUGGUUUAGUUGAUAUGGAUCACGUGAUCACUUAGAUGAUUAGAGGGAUGUCUAUCUAAGUGGAGUUCUUAAGUAAUAUGAUUAAUUGAACUUUAAUUUAUCAUGAGCUUGGUACCUGAUAGUAUUUGCAUAACUAUGUUGUAGAUCAAUAGCUCGUGAUGUAGCUCCCCGUUUAUUUUUGAUAUGUUCCUAGAGAAAACUAUGUUGAAAGAUGAUAGUAGCAAUGAUGCGGACUAGAUCCGUGAUUUGAGGAUUAUCCUCAUUGCUGCACAGAAGAAUUAUGUCCUUGAUGCACCUCUAGGUGACGGACCUAUUGCAGGAGCAGAUGCAGACGUUAUGAACGUUUGGCAAGCUCGGUAUGAUGACUACUUGAUAGUUUAGUGCACCAUGCUUUACGGCUUAGAACCGGGACUUCAAAAAUGUUUUGAACGCCACGGAGCAUAUAAGAUGUUCCAAGAGCUGAAAUUGGUAUUUCAGACUCAUGCCCAAGUCGAGAGGUAUGAGACCUCUGACAAGUACUUUGCCUACAAGAUGGAAUAAUGAUGGAUCGGUGUGCGGAAUUGUCCUAGGCAAUAAAGUUAGAAUAUAUUACUAAAUAAUAUAAAUAGCGAGUGUGGAAUAAUGAUGGAUCGGUGUGCGGAAUUGUCCUAGGCAAUUGUUAACAAGACCGGUAGUCGUCAUUGCAAUUUCAUAUGAGGGAGAGGCAUAAGCUAACAUACUUUCUCUACUUGGAUCAUAUGCACUUAUGGUUGGAACUCUAGCAAGCAUCCGCAACUACUAAAGAUCAUUAAGGUAAAACCUAACCAUAGCAUUAAAGCAUCAAGUCCUCUUUAUUCCCAUACGCAACAACCCCCUUACUCGGGUUUGUGUUUCAGUCACUCACCAACCCACUAUAAGUGAAUCAUGAACGUAUUGCAACACCCUACAGCGGGAAUCCCUCACGCUUGCGCGACACGGAGGGCACCAUAGGACAGCACCAAAGUAAAACAUACAACUCGUACCAAUCUAGAUCAUCAAUCAACCCAAGGACAAAAUAUAUCUACUCAAAACAUCAUAGGAUGGCAACACAUCAUUGGAUCAUAAUAUGUGGCAUAAAGCACCAUGUUCAAGUAGGGAUUACAGCGGGGUGCGGGAGAGUGGACCGCGUAAGAGAGAUGAGGAUGGGGUUGAUGGUGGUGAUGUUGAUGAAGACGAUCACCGCGGCGAUGAUUCCCCCCUUGAUGGCACUCCGGCGCCACCGAGAGAGAGGAGGAGAGGUUCUCCCCCUUGUGCUUCCUCCUCCAUGGCCUCCCCCCUAGAUGGGGAAAGGUUCUCCCUCUGAUCAUUGGCCUUCAUGGCGAUGAUGGCCUCUUCGGGAUACUCCUCCAUGGCCACCGGUGAUGAUGGCUCCCUCCGGCAGGGUGCCGGAGAGGGCCUAGAUUGAUUUCUCGUGGCUACAGAGGCUUGCGGCGGCGGAACUCCCGAUCUAGGUUUCUUUCUGGAAGUUUGGGUAUAUAUGAGAGGUGUUGGUGUUGAUUUCACGUCAGGGGGGUUUCCGGGCUGUCCACGAGGCAGGGGGCGCGCCCCGGGGGGUGGGCGCCCCCCACCCUCGUGGGCAGCCCGGGACUCCUCUGGCCUACUUCCGGUACUCCGUGGGCUUCUCCUGGUCCAAAAAUGAUCUCCGUCAAGUUGCACGUCAAUUGGACUCCGUUUGGUUUUCCUUUUCUGCGAUACUCUAAAACAAGGAGAAAACAAAAACUGGCACUGGGCUCUAUGUUAAUAGGUUAGUCCCAAAAAUCAUAUAAAAGUGUAUAAUAAAGCCCAUUAAACAUCCAAGAUAGAUAAUAUAACAGCAUGAAUACUUUAUAAAUUAUAGAUACGUUGGAGACGUAUCACACCACAGCGUAAUGGUGUGUCCGAAUGUCGUAAUCGUACUUUACUAGAUAUGGUGCGAUCUAUGAUGUCUCUUACUGAUUACCGCUAUCAUUUUGGGGUUAUACUUUAGAGACGGCUGCAUUCACGUUAAAUAGGGCACCAUCAAAAUCCGUUGAGACGACGCCUUAUGAAUUGUGGUUUGGCAAGAAACCAAAGUUGUCGUUUCUUAAAGUUUGGGGCUGCGAUGCUUAUGUGAAAAAACUUCAACCUAAUAAGCUCGAACCCAAAUCGGAGAAAUGUGUCUUCAUAGGAUACCCAAAGGAAACUGUUGGGUACACCUUCUAUCACAGAUCUGAAGGCAAGACUUCUGUUGCUAAAUUUGGAUCCUUUCUAGAGAAGGAGUUUCUCUCGAAAGAAGUGAGUGGGAGGAAAGUAGAACUUGAUGAGGUAACCGUACCUGCUCCCUUAUUGGAAAGUAUUUCAUCACAUAAACCGGUUCCUGUGACAUCUAUACCAAUUAGUGAGGAAGUUAAUGAUGAAGCUCAUGAAACUUCAGAUCAAGUUGUUACUGAACCUCGUAGGUCAACCAGAGUAAGAUCCGCACCAGAGUGGUACGGUAAUCCCGUUCUGGAGGUUAUGUUACUAGACCAUGAUGAACCUACGAACUAUGAAGAAGCGAUGGUGAGCCCAGAUUCCACAAAAUGGCUUGAGGCCAUGAAAUCCGAGAUGGGAUCCAUGUAUGAGAACAAAGUAUGGACUUCGGUUGACUUGCCCGAUGAUCGGCAAGCCAUUGAGAAUAAAUGGAUCUUCAAGAAGAAGACUGACGCUGACGGUAAUGUUACUGUCUACAAAGCUCGACUUGUUGCAAAAGGUUUUCGACAAGUUCAAGGGAUUGACUACGAUGAGACUUUCUCACCCGUAGCGAUGCUUAAGUCUGUCUGAAUCAUGUUAGCAAUUGCCGCAUUUUAUGAUUACAAAAUUUGGCAAAUGGAUGUCAAAACUGCAUUCCUGAAUGGAUUUCUGGAAGAAGAGUUGUAUAUGAUGCAACCGGAAGGUUUUGUCGAUCCAAAGGGAGCUAACAAAGUGUGCAAGCUCCAGCGAUCCAUUUAUGGACUGGUGCAAGCCUCUCGGAGUUGGAAUAAACGUUUUGAUAGUGUGAUCAAAGCAUAUGGUUUUAUACAGACUUUUGGAGAAGCCUGUAUUUACAAGAAAGUGAGUGGGAGCUCUGUAGCAUUUCUAAUAUUAUAUGUGGAUGACAUAUUGUUGAUUGGAAAUGAUAUAGAAUUUCUGGAUAGCAUAAAAGGAUAUUUGAAUAAGAGUUUUUCAAUGAAGGACCUCGGUGAAGCUGCUUAUAUAUUGGGCAUCAAGAUCUAUAGAGAUAGAUCAAGACGCUUAAUUGGACUUUCACAAAGCACAUACCUUGACAAAGUUUUGAAGAAGUUCAAAAUGGAUCAAGCAAAGAAAGGGUUCUUGCCUGUGUUACAAGGUGUGAAGUUGAGUCAGACUCAAUGCCCGACCACUGCAGAAGAUAGAGAGAAAAUGAAAGAUGUUCCCUAUGCUUUAGCCAUAGGCUCUAUCAGGUAUGCAAUGCUGUGUACCAGACCUGAUGUGUGCCUUGCUAUAAGUUUAGCAGGGAGGUACCAAAGUAAUCCAGGAGUGGAUCACUGGACAACGGUCAAGAACAUCCUGAAAUACCUGAAAAGGACUAAGGAUAUGUUUUUCAUUUAUGGAGGUGACAAAGAGCUAGUCGUAAAAGGUUACGUCGAUGCAAGCUUUGACACUAAUCCGGACGAUUCUAAAUCGCAAACCGGAUACGUGUUUACAUUGAACGGUGAAGCUGUCAGUUGGUGCAGUUCUAAACAAAGCGUUGUGGCGGGAUCUACGUGUGAUGCGGAGUACAUAGCUGCUUCGGAAGCAGCAAAUGAAGGAGUCUGGAUGAAGGAGUUCAUAUCCGAUCUAGGUGUCAUACCUAGUGCAUCGGGUCCAAUGAAAAUCUUUUGUGACAAUACUGGUGCAAUUGCCUUGGCAAAGGAAUCCAGAUUUCACAAGAGAACCAAGCACAUCAAGAGACGCUUCAACUCCAUCCGGGAUCAAGUCCAGGUGGCACACAUAGAAAUUUGCAAGAUACAUACGGAUCUGAAUGUUGCAGACCCGUUGACUAAGCCUCUUCCACGAGCAAAACAUGAUCAGCACCAAGGCUCCAUGGGUGUUAGAAUCAUUACUGUGUAAUCUAGAUUACUGACUCUAGUGCAAGUGGGAGACUGAAGGAAAUAUGCCCUAGAGGCAAUAAUAAAGUUAUUAUUUAUUUCCUUAUAUCAUGAUAAAUGUUUAUUAUUCAUGCUAGAAUUGUAUUAACCGGAAACAUAAUACUUGUGUGAAUACAUAGACAAACAGAGUGUCACUAGUAUGCCUCUACUUGACUAGCUCGUUAAUCAAAGAUGGUUAUGUUUCCUAGCCAUGGACAUGAGUUGUCAUUUGAUUAACGGGAUCACAUCAUUAGGAGAAUGAUGUGAUUGACUUGACCCAUUCCGUUAGCUUAGCACUUGAUCGUUUAGUAUUCUGCUAUUGCUUUCUUCAUGACUUAUACAUGUUCCUAUGACUAUGAGAUUAUGCAACUCCCAUUUACCGGAGGAACACUUUGUGUGCUACCAAACGUCACAACGUAACUGGGUGAUCAUAAAGGUGCUCUACAGGUGUCUCCAAAGGUACUUGUUGGGUUGGCGUAUUUCGAGAUUAGGAUUUGUCACUCCGAUUGUCGAAGAGGUAUCUCUGGGCCCUCUCGGUAAUGCACAUCACUAUAAGCCUUGCAAGCAAUGUGACUAAUGAGUUAGUUGCGGGAUGAUGUAUUACGGAACGAGUAAAGAGACUUGCCAGUAACGAGAUUGAACUAGGUAUUGAGAUACCGACGAUCAAAUCUCGGGCAAGUAACAUACCGAUGACAAAGGGAACAACGUAUGUUGUUAUGUGGUUUGACCGAUAAAGAUCUUCGUAGAAUAUGUAGGAGCCAAUAUGAGCAUCCAGGUUCCGCUAUUGGUUAUUGACCGGAGACGUGUCUCGGUCAUGUCUACAUAGUUCUCGAACCCGUAGGGUCCGCACGCUUAAAGUUCGAUGACGGUUAUAUUAUGAGUUUAUGUGUUUUGAUGUAACGAAGGUAGUUCGGAGUCCCGGAUGUGAUCACGGACAUGACGAGGAGUCUUGAAAUGGUCAAGACGUAAAGAUCGAUAUAUUGGAUGACUAUAUUUGGAUACUGGAAUGGUUCCGGGUGAGAUCGGGAUAAUACCGGAGCACCGGGAGGUUAUCGGAACCCCCCGGGAGGUAUAUGGGCCUUAAUGGGAUUUAGUGGAAAGGAGGGGAAAGGAGCAAGGGAGGGGGCGCCCCCCCCCAAGCCCAAUCCGAAUUGGGAGGGGGGCCGACCCCCCUUUCCUUCCUCCCUCCUUCCUCUUCCUUCCCUCUCCCUCUCCAAAUAGGAAAAGGAGGAGUCCUACUCCCGGUGGGAGUAGGACUCCCCCAUUGGCUGGCCCUCUCCUCACCCCUUUAUAUACGGAGGAGAGGGGCACCCCAUAGACACAAUAAUUGAUCUCUUGGAUCUUUUAGCCGUGUGCGGUGCCCCUCUCCACCAUAGUCCACAUCGAUAAUAUUGUAGCAGUGCUUAGGUGAAGCCCUGCGUCGGUAGCAACAUCAUCAUCGUCACCACGCCGUCGUGCUGACGGAACUCACCCUCAAAGCUCGGCUGGAUCGGAGUUCGAGGGACAUCAUCGAGUUGAACGUGUGUAGAACUCGAAGGUGCCGUGCGUUUGGUACUUGAUCGGUCGGAUCGUGAAGAUGUACGACUACAUCAACCGCGUUGUGCUAAUGCUUCCGCUUUCGGUCUACGAGGGUACGUGGACACACUCUCCCCUCUCGUUGCUAUGCAUCACCAUGAUCCUGUGUGUGCGUAGGAAUUUUUUUGAAAUUACUACGUUCCCCAACACCAUCAUCACCGGAGGCCAUGGAGGAGGAUCCCGGAGGGGCCAUCAUCGCCAUGAAGGCCAAGGACCAGAGGGAGAACCUCUCCCCAUCUAGGGGGGAGGCCAUGGAGGAGGAAGCACAAGGGGGAGCACCUCUCCUCCUCUCUCUCGGUGGCGCCGGAGUGCCAUCGGGAGGGGAAUCAUCGCCGCGGUGAUCGUGUUCAUCAACAUGACCAUCAUCAUCACCAUCCUCAUCUCUUUUACGCGGUCCACUCUCCCGCAACCCGCUGUAAUCCCUACUUGAACAUGGUGUUUUAUGCCACAUAUUAUGAUCCAAUGAUGUGUUGCUAUCCUAUGAUGUUUUGAGUAGAUAUCCUUUGUCUUUGGGUUGAUUGAUGAUCUAGAUUGGUAUGAUUUGUAUGUUUUAUUUUGGUCCUGUCCUAUUGUGUCCUCCGUGUCGCGCAAGCGUGAGGGAUUCCCGCUGUAGGGUGUUGCAAUAUGUCCAUGGUUUACUUAUUGUCUGUGUUGCUUGAGUGACAGAAGCAUAAACACGGAUAAGUGGGUCACGGCGUAUGGGAUAAAGGGGACUUGAUACUUAAAAUGCUAUAGUUGGGUUUUACCUUAAUUAUCUUUACUAGUUGCGGAUGCUUGCUAGAGUUCCAAUCAUAAGUGCAUAUGAUCCAAGAAGGGAAAGUAUGUUAGCUUAUGCCUCUCCCUCAUAUGAAAUUUCAAUAGUGAUUACCGGUCUUGUUAACAAUUGCCUAGGACAAUUCCGCACACCAAUCCAUCAUUAUUCCACACUCGCUAUUUAUAAUAUUUAGCAAUAUAUUCUAACUUUAUGAUAACAGCACCUACUUUUAUAUUUUAGCUCUCCGAUACCAUGCAAAGUUAUCCUCUUCAUACCCACAACGUAGUUUUAUUUCUCCUUUCUAAUUGGAAGGAAACGUUCGGUGUACGUAGCUAGAGUCGUAUCAGUAGCAGAUAGGACUUGAGAGAAUAUUGAUCUUACCUUUAGCUCUUUGUGGGUUCGACACUCCAUACUUAUCACUUCCACCUUUGGGAAUUGCUACGAUGAUUCCCUGCACUUGGGGAUUAUCAUUUAUCAUUUGAUGAAUGGGGUCACAUCAUUAGAGAAUGAUGAUGGACAAGACCCAUCUGUUAGCUUAGCAUAAUGAUCGUUUAGUUUAUUGUUGUUGCUUUCUUCAUGACUUAUACAUGUUCCUAUGACUAUGAGAUUAUGCAACUCCCGAAUACCGGAGGAACACUUAGUGUGCUAUCAAACAUCACAACAUAACUGGGUGAUUAUAAAGAUGCUCUACAGGUGUCUCAAAUGGUGUUUGUUGAGUUGGCAUAGGUCGAGAUUAGGAUUUGUCACUCCGAUUGUCGGAGAGGUAUCUCUGGGCCCUCUCGGUAAUGCACAUCACUAUAAGCCUUGCAAGCAAUGUGACUAAUGAGUUAGUUGCGGGAUGAUGCAUUAUGGAACGAGUAAAGAGACUUGUCAGUAACGAGAUUAAACUAGGUAUGAUGAUACCGACGAUCGAAUCUCGGGCAAGUAACAUACCGAUGACAAAGGGAACAACGUAUGUUGUUGUGCGGUUUGACCAAUAAAGAUCUUUGUAGAAUAUGUAGGAACCAAUAUGAGCAUCGAGGUUCCGCUAUUUGUUAUUGACCGGAGAUGAGUCUCGGUCAUGUCUACAUAGUUCUCGAACCCGUAGGGUCCGCACGCUUAACAUUCGAUGACGAUAUGUAUUAUGAGUUUUGUGAUUUUAUGUACUGAAGGUAGUUCGAAGUCCCGGAUGUGAUCACGGACAUGACGAGGAGUCUCGUAAUGGUCGAGACAUAAAGAAUGAUAUAUUGGACGAUGUUAUUCGGACACCGGAUGAGUUCUGGGGGUAACCGGAUAAAUAUCAGAGUGUCGAAAGAUAUCCUAGGAGCUACUUGAAUUCCCACUAAACUCCCAAAACUUUCUGGUUAUGCAAUCUGGUGUUGGGGAUACAGGGGACACAAAAUAUAUCACCCAAACUAGCAAUCCCUAGAUCCAGCUGUAUCCAUCCGUCAAAACAUAACCAAGAAACCUUCGGAAAUCGUGUACCUCAACCUUCGAAAAGCAUCCGUUAUACGAGUUAUGGCAAUACUCCCGAACUCCCGCCCUAGUACUGGGUGGUGUCGAGGUGAUCUCACCAACAACUGCAUAAAAGAGAUUUCGAUGUCGGCGAAACUCAGGUAUUCCAGAACUGCAACGAUAAAAUUGUGACGACAACACCUCGGAGCUCAACUCCCCGGGACACGGACAUGACGAGGAGUCUCGUAAUGGUUGAGACAUAAAGAAUGAUAUAUUGGACGAUGUUAUUCGGACACCGGAUGAGUUCCGGGGGUAACCGGAUAAAUAUCAGAGUGUCGGAAGGGUUAUCGGAACCACCGGAGAAGUAAUGGGCCUUAUUGGGCCUAGGGGAGAGAGAGAGAGGUGCAGCCAAGGGCUGGCUGCGCACCCUGCUACCUCUUGAGCAUGCGUUGGUUUCCCCUUGAAGAGGAAAGGGUGAUGCAGCAAAGUAGCGUAAGUAUUUCCCUCAGUUUUUGAGAACCAAGGUAUCAAUCCAGUAGGAGACAACGCACAAGUCACCUAGUACCUGCACAAACAAUCAAGAACCUUGCAACCAACGCGAUAAAGGGGUUGUCAAUCCCUUCACGGUCACUCGCAAAAGUGAGAUCUAAUAAAGAUAGUAAAGUAAAUAUUUUUGGUAUUUUUGUUGUAUAGAUUGGAAAGUAAAGAUUGCAAAAUAGUAAACGAGAUGCGAUGUAAAUAAAAGAGAUGCAAUAUAAUAAGAAAGAGACCCGGGGGCCAUAGGUUUCACUAGUGGCUUCUCUCAAGAUAGCAUGUAUUACGGUGGGUGAACAAAUUACUGCCGAGCAAUUGAUAGAAAAGCGCAUAGUUAUGAAGAUAUCUAAGGCAAUGAUCAUGAAUAUAGGCAUCACGUCCGUGUCAAGUAGACCGAAACGAUUCUGCAUCUACUACUAUUACUCCACACAUCGACCGCUAUCCAGCAUGCAUCUAGAGUAUUAAGUUCAUAAGAACAGAGUAACGCAUUAAGCAAGAUGACAUGAUGUAGAGGGAUAAACUCAAGCAAUAUGAUAUAAACCCCAUCUUUUUAUCCUCGAUGGCAACAAUACAAUACGUGCCUUGCUGCCCCUACUGUCACUGGGAAAGGACACCGCAAGAUUGAACCCAAAGCUAAGCACUUCUCCCAUUGCAAGAAAGAUCAAUCUAGUAGGCCAAACUAAACCGAUAAUUCUAAGAGACUUGCAAAGAUAUCAAAUCAUGCAUAUAAGAAUUCAGAGAAAAACCAAAUAAUAUUCAUAGAUAAUCUUGUUCAUAAAUCCACAGUUCAUCGGAUCUCGGCAAACACACCGCAAAAGAGUAUUACAUCAAAUAUAUCUCCAAGAACAUCGAGGAGAACUUUGUAUUGAGAAUCAAAGAGAGAGAAGAAGCCAUCAAGCUAAUAACUAUGGACCCGAAGGUCUGUGGUAAUGUAACGCCCACGAUGCGGCUAUAUCUCCCACGUGUCGAGGCACGACUUAGAGGCAUAACUGCAUUGUGGUUUUGUCGCAAGAAGGGUCAUCUUCACACAAUCUCAUGUAAUGAACAAGAAUGGGAUAACGAGAGUUGGCUUACAAUCGCCACUUCACACAAUACAUAAAUAUAGUUCAUACAUCAUCCAAAAUCCACACAUAGACCGACUACGGUCAAAACCAAAUGAAAAUAAGAUAACCCCAAAUGCUAGAUCCCCGGUCGUCCCAACUGGGCUCCACUACUGAUCAUCAGGAAAAGAAACAUAGUAAUGACCACGUUCCUCAUCGAACUCCCACUUGAGCUCGGUUGCGUCAUCUGCACUGGCAUCGUCGACACCUGCAACUGUUUUGGUAGAAUCUGUGAGUCACGAGGACUCAGCAAUCUCACACCCGCGAGAUCAAGACUAUUUAAGCUUACAGGAAAAGAUGGUGUAAUGAGGUGGAGCUGCAGCAGGCACUAAGCAUAUAUGGUGGCUAACAUACGCAAAUGAGAGCGAAAAGAGAGGCAACGCAACGGUCGUGAAGCUAGAAAUGAUCCUGAAACUACUUACGUUCAUGCAUAACUCAAACCGUGUUCACUUCCCGGACUCCGCCGAGAAGAGACCAUCACGGCUACACACACAGUUGAUGUAUUUUAAAUUGGGUCAAGUGACAAGUUCUCUACAACCGGACAUUAACAAAUUCCCAUCUGCCUCAUAACCGUGGGCACGGCUUUUGAAAGAUAAUACCCUGCAGGGGUGUCCCAACUUAGCCCAUUAUAAGCUCUCACGGUCAACGAAGGAUAAACCUUCUCCCGGAAAGACCCGAUCAGUCUCGGAAUCCCGGUUUACAAGACAUUUCGACAAUGGUAAAACAAGACCAGCAAAGCCGCCCGAAUGUGCCGACAAAUACCGAUAGGAGCUGCACAUAUCUCGUUCUCAGGGCACACUGGAUAAGCGAAGCGUACAGGUACCAACAUAACCCAAGUUGCCAAGGGACGGUCCCGCACGGUGCUCUAGUUUGGACCAGCACUCAGAGGAACACUGGCCCGGGGGUUUAAAUAAAGAUGACCCUCGGGCUCGCGAAAACCCAAGGGAAAAAGGCUUAGGUGGCAAAUGGUAAAACCAAGGUUGGGCCUUGCUGGAGGAGUUUUAUUCAAGGCGAACUGUCAAGGGGGUCCCAUAAAUCACCCAACCGCGUAAGGAACGCAAACUCAAGGAACAUAAUCCCGGUAUGACGGAAACUAGGGCGGCAAGAGUGGAACAAAACACCAGGCAUAAGGCCGAGCCUUCCAUCCUUUACCAAAUAUAUAUAGAUGCAUUAAUUAAAUAAGAGAUAUUGUGAUAUUCCAAAAUAUCCAUGUUCCAACAUGGAACCAACUUCAACUUCACCUGCAACUAAUAACGCUAUACGAAGGGCUGAGCAAAAGCGGUAACUUAGCCAAACAAUGGUUUGCUAGGAAAGGAUGGUUAGAGGCUUGACAUGGCAAUAUGGGAGGCAUGAUAUAGCAAGUGGUAGGUAGCGCAGCAUAGCAAUAGAAUAAGCAACUAGCAAAGCAAAGAUAGAAGUGAUUUCGAGGGUAUGGUCAUCGUGCGUGCAAGGUUCUCAGAGUUGUCGAAAGCUUGAUCCUCGUAAGCAUACUCAACAGGUUCCUCGUUCACGAACUCGUCUCCCGGCUCUACCCAAAACAAGAACACAAGCAAUGGAACCACAAUCAAUCACGGGAAAUGCACAAGCAACAUGAUGCAAAACAUGUAUGAUAUGCGAGAUGUGGUAUGCGAUGCAUAUGCGUGCUCCGGAAGAAAAAUGAUGAACAAGGCAGUAACUUGGCAAACCAAGCAUGCCACUGGAAAGAUGAGAUGAUUUCGGUCGAAAUCGGUAUAAAGAUCACCGGAAACGGAUGCACGGUUUGCAAAUGGCAAGCAAAACAAGAAUGACACGAUUCUGCGAUUAACAGCAUGAUAGCACUUAGAAUACAACAAGUAACUAUGCUACAGCACUCCAACAUAGCAACACAGCAUAUGGAAGUAAUCUACAGGCGAUGCUUGACAAAAGAUGAACACUGAGCUAUGGCUAGAUCACAAUAGAACAGGCUCAAACAAGCAUGGCAAAAGUGCAAAAGAUAUCAGGUUCACAGACUUAGUGAAAUUACUGGACAUGGCAGAAACAACAUCAGGUAGCAAUAUUCAGAGCAAGAAAUCAACAUGCUACAGGAACUUAACAUGGAAAAACAAGGCAUGGAAUGAAUCUACUAAAUGCAUAGAACAAAAGUACCUUACUGACCAUAAGCCAAAAAGGACCAGAAGAUAUGAUGGCAACCAUGUAAACAUAGCAAGUUUCGUUAACAGGUUUCAGACUUGGCAGAAAACAGAGCAUGGCAGAAACAGUAAUAUGAAGGCAUCUUGCUGAGCUUGAUUCACUCACCACAAAGCAAUUCAUGACAAAACAAGCAUACCUACAGCAAGAUGACAUGUUUAUGAAGCUAUCCAUGGCAAGAGCAAGUUCAUUGCAUGAAAGGAUCAACUACAACAAGCUUAGCAAAAUUGAAUAUCAUGUUAACAAUCUGCCAGAAAUAUUUUAUAGCACAAGUAGAGCAAGAUUAAGGCAUGCUAUGGCACUCCAUAAUUGCAAACAAGGGCAUGAAUGGAUAUAUCACAACUAUAUCUACAAAAUAUACUUACUGAACAUCUCCAAAAGGAGCAUGGAUCUCACUGUAGUGACAUGGAUACAUGGCAACAAAAUAACAGCAGUCAUAGACUUGGUAAAAUUACUAAGUCCGUGAAAUCAGAAACAUCACGAAGCCUAGUUUGCAUGCUUGUGCUAGUCACCACAUAGAUCACAAAAAUACAUGGCAUAAACCUCUGUGACGAUGGCAUGUCAUACAUCAAAACACAUGUAGAGCUCAUGCCCAUAAGAUGCACACAUGAAAUGCAACAAAAUAACAAAUCACCAAGUUCUGAUAAGUAUCAGCAGUUAACAGCAUAUAGCACUCUUGCACCAGAGAUUUGAGCAUCAAGAUGGACUCCAAUGAGCAUGGUAUAAUGGAACAAAAUGAAGAGCAUCUCGAGGCAAACAUUUCGAUAUAUUACACGCAUGAAACGGAGCAGUAUGCAGAGAGUUAUGAUGCGAUGAACUAUGCAACGGAAUAUGAAAAUAACUGGACUUAGAGAAAUUCGAGAGGGGGAGAAAGUCAACCCUACUGGAUCCCGAUCCGGAUCGGCGCGGGCUCGAGCUCGGGCUCGCCGGAGUGAGCUCGGGAGAGGGAGGAGGGAGAGGGCGGCCGGCCGGAGGGAGGAGAGGAGCUCGCCGGGGCUCGGGCUCCGGUGCGGGACGGGCGGCGGCGCGGGGGACGGCNNNNNNNNNNNNNNNNNNNNNNNNNNNNNNNNNNNNNNNNNNNNNNNNNNNNNNNNNNNNNNNNNNNNNNNNNNNNNNNNNNNNNNNNNNNNNNNNNNNNNNNNNNNNNNNNNNNNNNNNNNNNNNNNNNNNNNNNNNNNNNNNNNNNNNNNNNNNNNNNNNNNNNNNNNNNNNNNNNNNNNNNNNNNNNNNNNNNNNNNNNNNNNNNNNNNNNNNNNNNNNNNNNNNNNNNNNNNNNNNNNNNNNNNNNNNNNNNNNNNNNNNNNNNNNNNNNNNNNNNNNNNNNNNNNNNNNNNNNNNNNNNNNNNNNNNNNNNNNNNNNNNNNNNNNNNNNNNNNNNNNNNNNNNNNNNNNNNNNNNNNNNNNNNNNNNNNNNNNNNNNNNNNNNNNNNNNNNNNNNNNNNNNNNNNNNNNNNNNNNNNNNNNNNNNNNNNNNNNNNNNNNNNNNNNNNNNNNGGACGGCGCCGGCGCCGGCGGGCGCGGGCGGCCGCGGGGAACAGCGGUGUCGUGAAAUUGUCACGACAGAUGUCCUCGUGCAAGGACUUAGUCGUGGAGCCAUCGCAGCUAGGAAGUUUAAAGGGGUUAAACGGGACAAGGAACACGAGGGUUAUACUGGUUCGGCCCCUUACGGUGAAGGUAAAAGCCUACGUCCAGUUGAGGUGGUAUUGAUUAGGGUUUCGAUGACCAGGAGCUAAACCGCCCUGCCUGGUUUCGGUCUUCUCUUUUCUGCCCCUAAACCGCCGCCGGGUCGUCCCUUUAUAUAGAGAGGUUGACGCCCAACGGCUCUCAGAGUCCCGGCCGGCUCAUAACAGUGUCCGGCUCGGACUCUUAACUAUUCUUGCCUUACACUACAAGUCUUGCCAUACGGCGGUUUACCACUACGGGCCUUAAGCCACCUCCGGGUCUUAAGCCCAUUAUCUAACCCGCCGUCUUCAAGCUUGGUACUAGGCUUCGCAUGAUGACCAUUAUGAGUAACCCGGCCCCUCUUGGGCGGGUGAUUCCAAUGGUUAUAUUCUCAACAUUAGGCCCCAGAUUGAUUUGAGCCGGUUCAUGUCAAUCUUCAAUUCCUUUGAGAGAAAAAAUCUUCCGGCUUAUGGUCGUGCGAAGGUUAUAACCCGGCGUGACGUCAUCUUCUGGAUUCCUGGUGACCCGCCAUGACGUCAUCUUCCAUUAAGUCCAUUUUUUUAUUCUGUUAUACUCCAACGGAUCUUAUCUUUAAUGGCUAUCCUGAAAAUCGAGGCGCUUUCGUGGCGAGAUAAUCACGCCGUGGCCUCCUUGUUUCUCGCGCCCACUUAUGAGCCUCACCUUAUAAAUAGCCCAGCCCAUGAGCCUCCAGUUACUCGUCGCCUCCAUCUUCUUCCUCCUCUCGCCACUGUACUGCCGCCCGAGCUCCGCCGCCGCCGCCGCGGGUCUCCUCGUCUUCACCAACUCAGGCCGCUGCAUCAACCUGACGUGACCAGAAAAAACGCGACGAACCUCCGCAGUAACUCCGCAUCUGUAAGUCCCUGCACCUCCCCACCGUAGAUCCGCAUUUAGGGUUCCGCUGUUCUUCCUCUGUUCUUCGCUGUUCUUCUCGAGUUCCCUGUAGUUCUUCCACUACAGUCAUGUUUGAUCCAAAAGUAGUACAGAGCUCCUGUGGUAGUUGUUGCGCAUCCAUUUUUAUGCUAGUAGAUCCCCUUUGUCUGCAAUAAGAUCUCGUUCUGAAUCCAUGAACUUCUUCUGCGUCAGUUCUAGGUCUAGAAAAUUUUCUUUUUAACCGACCGUUUUGAUCCAAAAUAAUUACUGCGAUCUGUGAAACUUGUUUGCGCCAUACUUAGUCAAAAAUGGCAUCUGUUUAGUUAUGGCGGCUCACAUUUCCGGCUCAAAAGAAACCACAUGCUGUAAAAUUUCCGGCUCAUUUAUGAUCAAGCUGUAGACAACUUGAAUUACUCACGACGCCCACAGCGGCUUAGAUAACCCGACAGAAUUAGCCAUGCAUCAUUAGGCCCCUUCAUAAGCCGCCAGUUUGAGUGUUGAACUGUAAAUCUCCUCCGGCUUAUAAUUGAACCGGACAUUUCCCUUUUGUCAUAGGCUUCAUCUUUCACAAUGCCACCCAAGGCUCCCAGGGCACCCAUCACGUGCAACUGGAUGAGAUCCAACGUCAUUGAUGAUACUUUAGCCGAUUUCGUGAAGACGGGUUACCUGCCCAAGAAGGAGGUCAUGUCUUAUCGUGCCCCUGACCCGUCAGAGGAAAGUCCUCAACCUAGGGAUGGCGAAGUAGUGAUAUUUGCUGAUCACAUGAGCCGGGGCUUCGCGCCGCCCGGCUCAAAAUUCUUUAGAGAGGUUCUGAACUUCUUUGAUCUGCGGCCGCAAGACAUAGGACCCAAUUCCGUGUCAAAUAUUUGCAAUUUUCAAGUAUUCUGCGAAGUCUAUCUUGGAGAAGAACCCAGCCUACUGCUCUUUAGGGAGCUGUUUUAUCUGAACCGCCAGAACGAGUGCGCCAACGGGCCGAGCUUAGAACUUGGUGGAAUCUCAAUUCAACGACGGAGGGACUGCCUCUUUCCUUAUGCUGAGCCGCCAAGCCAUCCAAAGGACUGGAACCAAACGUGGUUCUACUGCCAGGAUACCUCUCCGGCUGACGAGAGCCCUCUGCCCGGCUUUCGUGCCCUGCGUCUAGAGCCAAAUCACCCUCUGCCAGACAAACUAUCUCAAGCUGAGCGUCAACCUCUGAUCCCCACCAUCAACAAGAUCAAGGCUCUCCUGGGAAAUGGCCUCAACAGCAUUGAUCUGGUCCGGGUCUGGAUCUCUUGGCGGGUGAUCCCCUUGAGCCGCCGCCCCGACUUAAUGUGUGACUACACGGGCCGAAAGGAUGACCCUCUGCAGCACAGCCCCAACGAUCUUCCUGAGGAUGUCGUGGAUGACAUGACCAAGUCUCUCCUGAAUGAGAGCUUAGCCGACUGUGGGAGGACCGGCUUAAACCCCUUCUGCCAAGCUAACCCGGCUCCGGCGGUAAGCCACUAACCUGAACACCUUGAUUUUCCUUUCAAUAGUUUUCAUCUGAACUUUAAGAAACCUUUGCUGUAUUUUUCAGGCUAAUGACAAGUUAUGGAAGGUCAGAUAUGACCAUGAGGCGGCUAAAAAAGCCAGGAAGGCUAAGAAAGCCGCCAGGAGAGCCGCUCCUCGCAAGAAGGGAAGCAGGCCUACUGCCUCAGAGCUGCUUCAGCUAAGUGACAGCUCCGAGUCAGAGGUAACCCUUGAAUCUUUAGGUUCUUCUUUUGUUUCUUAUUUAUUCCUAUCCGCCUUAUCGAUACUGAUUGUCAGCAGGAGGACACCGGAGCGAGUAUCCCGGUGACUGAAGAGGUAACUACACUUUCCUCCGACUUGGAGCCCUUGCCAAGGCUGAAAGUCCGAAGAGUAACCCGGAAAGUAAGAUUUUAACAUCCUUUAGCUUAUCAAGAUCCUCAAUUUCUUUUGAAGCGACAGAUUCAUGAGAGCCGGCGGCACACCCGGACCAACAAGGAUGCAGACCUCUCCUCUGGCUUACCUGAAGCAUCAAGGAAGCGCCGGACCGAGGUUAUCUCCAACUAAUAUCCUUUUCAUCCUUUGGCGGGCGUUACUCGUCAACCGCUCAAUUCUUCUGAUUCAAAUUAUCAGGACACUUCACCUUCCUCUGGUGGUUCUAUGCAAUCGAACCUGCCGGCUUUCAAGACCGCACCCGGGUAAUGAUGAUCAUCUUAUGUUGUGCUUAUCUUUACUCAUGCUUUUGUACUAACCUUUUGUCCUGUCAGUGCUCAAGCAAAGCUCAGUAAGAGGGCGAAGAAGAAUAAACCGGUCGAAGAGCCGAUCCUGACUGAACCGGAGGCCUCUGCUCAAGAGCCGCCAUCUACCUCAGCCCCUGAAACCACCGCUCCAACUGACGAGCCAGUCAUAGAGUCUUCUACUAAUCCGGAGAUCCCCAGCCCAGCUCAGCCGGCCGAUGACCCGGACGUUGUAAUCACCCGGACGGAGUUUGUCGAGCCGGGGAGACCCACUGCGCUGGCUAAGUGCUCUGCCAAGGAAGAGUUGCUAGAGCGCCAGGGCCAAGCUGGAGAUCACCAACUACGCUAACUUGAGCAUUGGAGAUAUCGUCUCCGGCUAUGUCAAUCAGGUGCACAACAGCCGUGACCUGGAGAUUGACAUGGUGAAGCAGAUACAGCAGAAAUCUGAGGUACAACUCUCUUGCUUACUGCAUAGUCAUCUUUACCAUACUAGCCCCCAAGUAUACUACUUAUGAUAGAAUAUGUUGUAGACUUAGCUUCCGGCUUACUUUCAUGACCCGGCAAUCUUCAAUUAAAUCUUUCAGCAUACAUUAGCCCCCAAGUGCCAAGUGCCUUUGCUUGUAAAGUGCUUGGGACUUUAAUGUUGCAUAAUAAUUACUCAAACUGUAACUCGGAAUUUGUACAGGCUGCCUGCAAAAAAUUUGAAGCUGAAAUCUCUGAGCUGAAGAACCGCCUGAAGACUCAGGAAACUGAGACCCGGAAGGCCAACGCCAAAUUUGAGUUCAGUGUUGCUACACAAGAAAAGCUGAAGAAGAAAUUUGAGACAGAGAGGAAGACUUGGUCUGAAGAGAGAGCCGCCUUGCUGAGCCGGGCCGAAAAAGCAGAGGCUGCUCUAACUGAGAGAACUGCCGAACUCUCCGGCUUAAAGCGCCAUGUGUCACAGAUGGUCUCCGCAAUCUUCGGUAAGUCAUUCUGCAAGCUUUUACCAAGUUUUCAUUCUUUAUGUCUCAUAAGUCCCCCUACUGUCUCCGGCUUACCUGACUUUGUUGAAACAGGUCCCAGAAGCUCCAACCUUAACCAGAAUGUUCUGACGAAGCUGAAGGCCGUGUACACGUUGGUGGAGCAACUCUACACCGGGUCACAGCGUGCGUUAGCCGUUGUGGCCCUGUCCAACGAGGUUCCGACUCACCUGGCGGACGUACUCAGGCGGCUUGCCGUUCUUCCUCAGCGCUUCCAAGAGCUAAGACGGGCCUCUGCAAGAGCCGGAGCGAUAGCUGCUUUGAGCCGGGCCAAGGCUUUUCUUCCGGAGUUAGACCCGGCUGACAUCGCUCUUGGAUACCCCAGCCUGAAGGAAGACGGCACCCCUUUCGACCAAAAAGACUUUGCAGCCUGUGUGAAGAGCGUGCGCCCGGUGGCCACCCUGAUUGGAAAUGACACCGACCUGACCAAGUACCAGCCGGGCUACGACGCGGAAAAUCAGAGGAUCCCCACUCCACAUUAUGAAGCCCUCAGCUUGAUCCCGCCGACUCGUAAGCACACCUUUGCCCAGAAAUUGACCCGGCUGGGUUAAUUGAUGACGAGGCUUGUCGUGGAAUUGUCACGUCAGAUGUCCUCAAGCUAGGACUUAGUCGUGGAGCCAUCGCCGCUAGGAAGCUUGAAGGGGUUAACGGGACAAGGAACACGAGGGCUUAUACUGGUUCGGCCCCUUACGGUGAAGGUAAAAGCCUACGUCCAGUUGAGGUGGUAUUGAUUAGGGUUUCGAUGACCAGGAAGCUUAACUGCUAUGCCUGGCUCUCGAUGAGAUCUUUCUUGCCCCUACGCUGCCGGGUCGUCCCUUUAUAUAGGGAGGCUGACGCCCAGCAGCUCUCAGAGUCCCGGCCGGCUCAUAAGAGUGUCCGGCUCGGACUCUCAACUAUUCUUGCCUUACACUACAAGUUCUACCAUAAUGAUGAUUGUAACUACGGGCCUUAAGCCAUAUCCGGGUCUUAAGCCCAUCUUUGACCCACCGUCUUCAAGCUUGGCGCCGGGCUUCUGGCGAUGACCACUAUGAGUAACCCGACCCCUCCUGGCGGGUGACUCUAAGGUCUAUAUCCUCAACAUUAGGCCCCAGAUUGAUUUGAGCCGGCUCAUGCCAAUCUUCAAUUCUUUCGACAGAAAUUCUCCGGCUUACAAUUGUGUGAAGGCCAUAACCCGGCGUGACGUCAUCCUCUGGACUCCGGGUAAUCCGCCGUGACGUCAUCUUCCAUUAAAUCCAUUUUUUACUCCACUAUAUCCACAACGGAUCUUAUCUUUACUGCCAUCCCGAAAAUCGAGGCGUUUCAUGGGGAGAUAACCACGCCGUGGUCUCCUCGUUUCUCGCGCCCACUUAUGAGCUUACCCUUAUAAAUAGUCCGGCCCGAUGAGCCUUCAGCCACCCGUCUUCCUCCUCGCGCCCCUGCUCUUCCGCUCGAGCCCUGUUGCCGUCGCCGCCGCGGGUCUUCUCGUCCUCACCGACUCCGGCCGCUGCAUCAACCUGUUGUGUCCAGAGAAUGGCAGCGACCUCCGCGACUCACCAGCACCUGUAAGUCCUUGCUGCCCCGUAGAACAGAUCUGCAGUAGGGUUUCUUCCUGUUCUUCCCGUGUUCUUCACCGUUCUUCGCAGGCCCUCGGUAGAUUUGAUUUUUACCACCCCUUUUGAUCUUAGACUUGCAUAGAACCACUACGGUAGCUGUUUCACUUCCAUUCCUAAUGCAAAUAGAUCCCCUUUUUACUGCAUAGAUGCUUCGUUCGAACUCGCAGACUUCUUCUGCGUCUGUUUUUAGGUCUAGGAAUUUUCCUUUUCAACCGACCGUUUUGAUCCAAAUUAUUUACUGCGAUGUGUGAAACCUGUUUUCACCACACUUAGUAAAAAACUACACCUGCCGAGUCGUGGCGGUUUACGUUUCCGGCUUAAAGAAGCCACGUACUGUAAAAAAUUUCCGGCUCAUUUGCAGCAAGGCUGUAGAUAAUUGAAUUGCUCUCAAUACCUCGGGCGGCUUAGAUAACCCGAUGCACCUAGAUAUAUGUCAUUAGUCCCCUCCAUAAGCCGCCACUUUAACAUUGAACUGUAAAUUUCCUCCGGCUUAUAAUUAAACUGGACGUUUCCUUUUAUCAUAGGCUGCCGACUUUCACCAUGCCUCCCAAAGCUCCUAAAGCAUCCAUCACUUGCAAUUGGAUGAGGUCCAAUGUCACCGACGAGACUUUAGCGGAUUUUGUCAAGUCAGGUUACCUGCCUAAGAAGGACGUCAUGUCCUACCGUGCCCCUGACCCGUCAGAGGAGAGACCACAGCCAAAGGACGGGGAGGUAGUGAUUUUUGCGGAUCACAUGAGCCGGGGCUUCACACCGCCCGGCUCAAAGUUCUUUAGAGACGUGCUGAAUUUCUUUGACCUGCGGCCACAAGACAUAGGACCCAAUUCUGUGUCCAAUAUAAGCAACUUCCAAGUGUUCUGCGAAGCCUACCUUGGAGAGGAGCCCAGCCUGCUGCUCUUCAUAGAGCUCUUCUACCUGAACCGUCAGAACGAGUGCGCCAACGGGCCAAGCUUGGAACUUGGCGGCAUCUCCAUUCAGCGACGGAGAGACUGCCUUUUCCCUUACGCCGAGCCGCCGAGUCACCCAAAGGACUGGAACCAGACGUGGUUCUAUUGCCAAGACACAUCGCCGGCUGACGAGAGCCCGCUGCCCGGCUUUCGCCCUUCACGUCUGGAACCAACUCACCCUCUGUCUGACAAGUUAACUCAGGCGGAGCGCCAACCUCUGCUCCCCACCAUCAACAAGAUCAAGGCUCUCCUGGGCAAUGGUCUCAACGGAAUUGAUCUGGUCCGGGUCUGGAUCUCGUGGCGGGUGAUCCCCCUAAGCCGCCGCCCCGGCUUAAUGUGUGAGUACACAGGCCGGAAAGAUGGCCCCCUGCGACACAGCUGCAACGAUCUUCCUGAAGACGUUGCUGAAGACAUGACCAAGGCCCUUUUAAAUGAGAGCUUGGCAGACUGCGGGAGGACCGGGUUAGCCCCCUUCUGCAAGACCAACCCAGCCCCAGCAGUAAGCCGCUGAUCUGAACAUCUUAUCUUGUUCUGCAGAUAACCUUCAUCUAAAUCUUUAAAAAAUCAUCAUUGUAUUUUUCAGGCUGAUGACAAAUUCUGGAAGGUCAAAUAUGACCAUGAGGCGGCCAAGAAGGCCAGGAAGGCUAAGAAAGCCGCCAAGAGAGCUGCUCCCCGUAAGAAGGGAAGUAGGCCUACUGCUUCAGAGCUGCUGCAACUAAGCGACAGCUCCGAGUCAGAGGUAACCCCUGAACCUGUAAGCUCUUGUUGUAUUUGUUGUUCAUUUCUGUCCACCUUAUCAAUACUGUUCAUCAACAGGAUGACACCGGAGCAAGUAACCCGGUGGUUGAAGAGGUAAUGACACUUUCCUCCGACUCGGAGCCCUUGCCAAGGCUGAAAGUCCGAAGGGUAACCCGGAAAGUAAGAUUUUCUCAUCCUUUAGCUUAUCAAGAUCCUCAAGUUCUUUUGAAGCGACAGACUCAUGAGAGCCGGCGGCACACCCGGACCAACAAGGACGCUGACCUCUCCUCCGGUUUACCUGACGCGUCGAGGAAACGCCGGACCGAGGUUAUCUCCCUCUUGUACCCUUUUCAUCCUUUGGCGGGUGUUAUUCGUCAACCGCUCAAUUCUUCUGACUCAAACUAUCAGGAAACCUCACCCUCCUCUGGUGACUCGAUGCAAUCAAACCUGCCGGCCUUCAAGACCAUACCCGGGUAAUGAUGAUCAUUUCUUGUUAUGCUUAUCUUUACUCAUACUUUUGUACUAACCUUUUUGUCCUUUCAGUGCCCAGGAAAAACUCAGCAAGAGGGCGAAAAAGAACAAGCCGGUCGACGAGCCGGACUUGCCCGAACCGGAGGCUGCAGCUCAAGAACCGCCAGCUGCCUCUGCUCCCGCGGCCGCCGCUCCAACCGACAAGCCAAUCACAGAAACUUCUGCUAACCCAGAGACCUCCAGCCUGGCUCACCCGGCCGAUGACCCGGACGUGGUAAUCACCCGGACGGAGUUUGUUGAGCCGGGGAGACCCACUGCACUGGCCAAGUGCUCCGCCAAAGAAGAGCUGCUAGGGCGCCGCCGGGCCAAUCUAGACCUCACCGACUAUGCCAAUCUGAGCAUCGGAGAGAUCGUCUCCGGGUAUGUCAAUCAGGUGCACAAGAGCCGGGACCUAGAGAUCGACAUGGUGAAUCAGAUUCAACAGAAAUCUGAGGUACCCCUCUUCUUGCUUACUGCAUAGUUAUCUUUACCAUACUAGCCCCCAAGUCGACGACUUAUGAUUGAAUAUGUUGUAGACUUAAGUUCCGGGUUACUUCCAUGAACCGGUAAUUUGUAGAUAGAAACAUUCGAUAUGCAUUAGCCCCCAAGUGCCAAGUGUCUUUGCUUGGAAAACGCUUGGGACUUUAAAUUUGCAUAGUAACUGUUCAUACUAUAACCCGGAAAUUAUGCAGGCUGCUUGCAAGAAGUUUGAGGCUGACAUCUCCGAUCUGAAGACCCGCCUGAGGACGCAAGAAACUGAGACCCGGAAGGCCAAUGCCAAAAUUUUGUCCAGUAUUGUUGCGCAAGAAAAGCUGAAGACGGACUUUGACGCUGAACGGAAAGCUUGGGCCAAAGAAAAGGCUACUCUGGUGAACCGGGCCGAACAGGCGGAGAAGGCUCUGACAGAGAAGACCGCCGAACUCUCCGACUUAAAGCGCCAAGUGUCCCAGAUGGUUGCCACAAUCUUCGGUAAGUCAUUUCACCGGCUUUCAUUAAGUUUAUAAUCUUUAUAUCUCAUAACUCACCAUUGCCAGCGGCUUAUCUUACUCUGUUAAACAGGUCCCAGAAGCGCCAACCUCAACCAAAGUGUGGUGACCAAGCUGAAGGCCGUGUACACCCUGGUGGAGCAACUCUACACCGGGUCACAGCGCGCCUUGGCUGUGGUGGCCCUAUCCAAUGAGGUGCCGACUCACCUGGCGGAAGUGCUUCGCCGGCUUGUCGUUCUUCCCCAGCGUGUCCAGGAGCUGCGACGGGCCUCCGCAAGAGCCGGAGCCAUAGCUGCUCUGAGCCGGGCCAAGGCGUUCCUUCCAGAAUUAGACCCGGCGGACAUUGCCCUUGGCUAUCCCAGCUUGAAGGAAGACGGAACCGCCUUCGACCAAAAGGACUUCGCAGCCUGCGUGAAGAUCGUACGCCCGGUGGCCACUCUGAUUGGAAAUGACACGGAUCUGACCAAGUACCAACUGGGUUACGAUGCCGAGAAUCAGACGAUCCCCACUCCGCGCUAUGAAGCCCUCAGCUUAGUCCCGCCGACUCGUAAGCACACCUUUGCCCCGGAAAUUGACCAGGCCGGGUUAAUUGACGAGGAAGGUCAAUUUGAAGCUCUGAGCGGCAUUGACUGGAAGUCGUCAACUUUCCAGGUCUUGGGAACAGCCGGAGGAGCGGAGAGGGAUGAGCCGGAAACCUCAACCCAGCAAGCGUCGUAACUCUGUAGGCGGUUUAUGUGAAAUAAUGCUUCACCCUUUUGGACUCAAUGAGUCUUGUAAUAGAAUAGGAUCAACACUUUAACUGUGCCGUGCCAUCGUGCACGUGUUGAAUGCUGAAUUCUAUGAAAGUUGCUUCCUUAUAUGUCUCCGGGUCAUAGUUGAUCAGUCAUGUUCCUUAAGCUUAAAUAGUUGUCUUUAACUAUCCUGCAUAGAAAGACAAAUCACAAGUCUCGAGGCGGCUUACCGCACGGAGAAUCAUAGUCUUAUGCAUAUAACCCGGAACAUGAAUCACAAAAGACUGGUCCUCAAUUAUAUCCUUGACAUAACCGUAACAACACACUUACCAGCCUGCAAGCACACUUCCGGCUUAAAUAACCCGGGCAAUAAGGUUGGUACCUCAAUUCCAAUUUACCAGUCUUAAUAACGCCGAUUGUAUUCGACUAGCACUGUAAAUCAAAGUUAAGCCGGCAAAGUGAGACCCGCCGUGCAUACUUGAAAUAAUCAGAAGAACUCGCUAUAAAUCAGAAAAACUUAGGGGCUUCUGGUUCGAAUACGACCAGAGACCCGUCCCAAAGGGGUUAUGCUAGGAUUCGAAUGUGAUCAUAUAGCCCCCAGUGGGUGUGGCGAUGCCAAUCAAGAGGGUACCGACAGCUAUGUUCUCUUUGGUUCGAAUACGACCUAUGUUUGAACAGGAAGCCCCCAAAUGACUUUAAGAAUUGUUUAACGACGCUGAUUCGAAUACGAUCCACGUCGGUUCCCAAAGGGGGUUGAACUAUGAUUCAGAUAUGAUCAAAGAAAACUCCUCAAUGAGCUCGGCACUUUGCCAAUCAAAUGGGUAUCGACAACUAUGUUCUCUUUGGUUCGAAUACGACCUAUGUUUGAACAGGAAGCCCCCAAGUGACCUUAUUGCCUACGGCUAGAUUCAAAUACGAUCAUAAGCCGGAUUCUCCUUCAAUUUAUCAUGUGAUCUUGCCAUGGAAACAACACGUUCACAUUUGUAGGAGAAAAAAGGACAGAGGGGUCGAGUGGAUCCUGUCCCAGCUGUAAGAGUACGCCUCUUGCUGCGCCAGUGCUGUCUAAAGGAGUUCCCUGACCCGGCGGGUUUCAAUAGCCGUCGGAGAGUCGCCGUCAAUUGGGAGGGCCGCCAGCUGUGCUGCUGCGGCGACCAUGUUCUCCAGCGGGUUAGCAUAAUGACCCGGUGGUAUUGGCACAUACUGAGGCGGGGCAGGGUCCACUCGGGGAGGCCCCAUCACUUGUGGCUGAACAGGGGGCCCAGACCCGGGCACUAUGAUCCCUGGCGGGUUACUAGACCCUGCACCUGGCGUGUUGAAGAGGUUUCGAGGAUCAUAAACCGGAGGGAGUCGAGAUUGGGCCUUUUGAUGCCUCCUCCGCAUGACCUCAUUGGACGCGUUCUGAUCCAUCGUGAGCCGGAAGGACUGCGCCUGGAUCAACUAAGUUUGGGCGUCGAGAGCCGCCCUCUCCGCAGCCAUCCUGAUCCCUUCCGCUGCCAGGUCCUCUUUGGCCUUCACUAGAUCUAACUUUAACUGCGCCACCUCCGCAUCAUGCUGAGCUUGAUCCGCCGGGUCAACCACGACGGUCAACAGGACCGUCAUUUUGUCCGUGAGAUCCAUCAGCACCUGAGCCGGCGAGGGCACCGGGUUUCCCGCCCCAGCCGCAGGGUUCUGAACAGGCUGCGCACCGGCCAUGAAGAUUCCAACCCGGCUCGGCGGCUCAAACGGGUCUAGAAUACUGUCACCGUCGGAACAACCCAUGAGCCUGCCAUCUUGAAGUUGAUACAACGAGUUUGACUCAUCUGUGGACGACUCGCCGUCAGAGCCGGCGGUCGUCUCAUCACCAGAUCCAGAUCCAUCAGGGAGUCCUCCAUGGAUACAUCCCACAAAAGCAUGCUUCAAGGCAGGCAGGGCCCGGGCGGGUCGUGCGCGCUGAGCCGUCUCGACGAGAUCGGCGCAGAGAUCCGGCUCAGGGCCCGGCUCACCAAUCUUGCCAAUGAAAACAUGAAUUCCGCCGAAGGGGACCCGGUAUCCAUACUUGAUUGAGCCGGCAUCGGGGCCCCAGCUUGCAUCGUCGAUGUAGAGCUUGCCGCGACGACUCUUGGUCAUCCGGCCCACAGCGUAUCCCUUGAGCCCUUCGAAGCUGCCCUUCAAGAACUCAAAUCCACCGUGCGUUGGCCCCACGGUGGGCGCCAACUGUCGUGGAAUUGUCACGGCAGAUGUCCUCAAGCUAGGACUUGCCAUCGCCGCUAGGAAGGUUGAAGGGGUUAACGGGACAAGGAACACGAGGGCUUAUACUGGUUCGGCCCCUUACGGUGAAGGUAAAAGCCUACGUCCAGUUGAGGUGGUAUUGAUUAGGGUUUCGAUGACCAGGGAGCUUAACUGCUAUGCCUGGCUCUCGAUGAGAUCUUUCUUGCCCCUAAACCGCUGCCGGGUCGUCCCUUUAUAUAGGGAGGCUGACGCCCAGCAGCUCUCAGAGUCCCAGCCGGCUCAUAAGAGUGUCCGGCUCGGACUCUCAACUAUUCUUGCCUUACACAACAAGUUCUACCAUAAUGAUGAUUGUAACUACGGGCCUUAAGCAAUAUCCGGGUCUUAAGCCCAUCUUUGGCCCACCGUCUUCAAGCUUGGCGCCGGGCUUCUGGCGAUGACCACUAUGAGUAACCCGGCCCCUCCCGGCGGGUGACUCUAAGGUCUAUAUCCUCAAAAAGGCUCAAUUCGAGGCUUUGAGCGGCAUUGAUUGGAAAUCAUCAACCUUCCAGGUCAUGGAAUCAGCCGGAGGAGCGGAGAGGGAUGAGCCGGAGGCUUCAACUCAACAAGCAUCUUGACUUGUAGGCGGCUCAUGGCUACACCUUAAAACAAUGCCUCAUCUUUUGGACUCGGGGAGUCUUGUAAUAGAGUAGGACAAAUACUUAAUUUUGUCGUGCCAUCGUGCACGUGUUGAAUGCUUAACUCCAUUGAAACUGCUUCUUCUUAUUCCUCCGGGUUAUAAUUGAUCAGUUAUUUUCCUUAAGCCCGAAUAGCUGUAUUGAACCAUCCUGCAUAGAAAACAAGUCACAAGUCUCUAGGCGGCUUACCGCACUGAGAAUCAUAAACCUUAUAUAUAUAACCCGGAAUAUGAACAAAGUCACCAAAGACUGGCCCUCAAUUAUAUCUUUGAUGUAACCAUAACAGCAUACUUACAAGCCUUCAAGUAUACUUCCGGUUCAUGUAACCCGAAUAAUGUGGUUAAAAUCUCAACGCCGGUUCACCAGUAUCGAUAAGGCUUAUUGCGUGUUACCAAAAUUAAGCCGGCGGAGCCAAAAACCGCCCUUGCACACUGCUGAUGUGACCAAAAGAACUUGUUGUAAGUCAGAAGAUCAAAACUUAGGGGCUUCCGGUUCGAAUACGACCAGAGAACCAUCCCAAAGGGGUUAAGCUAAGAUUCGAAUGCGAUCAUAUAGCCCCCAGUGGCUUUGGCGAUGCCGAUUAAGAGGGUACCGACAGCUAUGUUCUCUUUGGUUCGAAUACGACCCAUGUUUGAACAGGAAGCCCCCAAAUGACCUUAAGAGUUGUUUAACGAUGCUGAUUCGAAUACGAUCCACGUCGGUUCCCAAAGGGGGUUGAGCUAUGAUUCAAAUAUGAUCAAAGAAAACUCCCCAAUGAGCUCGGCAAUUUGCCAAUCAAGUGGGUAUCGACAGCUAUGUUCUCUUUGGUUCGAAUACGACCUAUGUUUGAACAGGAAGCCCCCAAGUGAUCAUAUUGUUUACGGCUAGAUUCGAAUACGAUCAUAAGCCGGAUCCACCUCCACGUGACCAUGUGAUGUUGUAAUGGAAAUAACACGUUUUACCUUUGGAGGAGAAAAGGACAGAGGUCCUGCUUUAUUAUUUAUCAUAAUAUAUACAUGGCUAUGGAAAUAUGUACAUUAUGAGAGCCGGUGGCUCAAGUGUAAUAAGGCCGAAGUUGAGCUAUGUUCCACGGCCGACGGGUCUCUUCCUCCGACUUACGUGAAUCCUUGUGCUCCCGAACGUCGAUAAGGUAGUAUGAACCGUUGUGCAAGUUCUUGCUGACCACAAAGGGCCCUUCCCAAUGCGGGGAUAACUUAUGUGCAUCUGCCUGGUCUUGGAUGAGCCGGAGCACCAGAUCACCUUCCUGGAAGACCCGAGACAUAACCCGGCGGCUGUGAUAACGGCGCAGGUCUUGUUGGUAAAUCGCCGAGCGAGCUGCUGCCACAUCACGAUGUUCAUCUAACAAGUCAAGAGCAUCUUGGCGCGCCCGCUCAUUAUCCGCCUCAACAUAAGCCGCCACUCGAGGCGAGUCAUGACGGAUGUCACUGGGGAGGACUGCUUCCGCUCCAUAAACCAUGAAGAAAGGCGUGUAACCCGUAGACCUGUUAGGAGUAGUAUUGAUGCUCCAUAACAUGGAGGGUAACUCCUCCACCCAACAACCCGGCGUCCGUUGCAAAGGGACCAAAAUCCGGGGCUUGAUGCCCUUCAAGAUCUCCUGAUUAGCUUUCUCAGCUUGACCAUUGGAUUGAGGUGAGCCACGGAUGAAACAUCAAGUCGAAUAUGCUCUCGUUGACAAAACUCCUCCAUGGCGCCCUUAGACAGAUUGGUACCAUUGUCAGUUAUAAUGCUGUGUGGAAAACCAAAGCGAAAUAUCACCCUUUUCAUGAACUGAACAGCAGUGGCCGCGUCACACUUGCUAACUAGCUCCGCCUCAACCCACUUUGUGAACUUGUCAACUGCCACCAAGAGGUGGGUCUUCUUAUCCUUGGACCUUUUAAAAGGCCCGGCCAUAUCAAGCCCCAAUACCACAAAUGGCCAAGUAAUUGGAAUCAUCCUUAGCUCCUUUGCCGGCACAUGAGCCUGUCGCGAGAACCUCUGGCAACCAUCACAUUUACUGACCAAGUCUUCCGCAUCAGCGUGAGCCGUCAGCCAAUAAAAACCAUGACGAAAAGCCUUGGCCACAAGGGAUUUUGAGCUGGCAUGAUGGCCACAAUCCCCCUCGUGAAUCUCACGCAAAAUAUCUUGGCCUUCCUCAGGGGAAACACAACGCUGGAAAGUUCCAGUGACACUGCGGCGAUGUAGCUCACCAUUGAUAAUUAUCUUUGACUUAGACCGUCGGGUUAUUUGUCUGGCCAAAGUUUCAUCCUCAGGUAAAUCUCCCCGGGUCAUGUAAGCCAAGUAUGGUACUGUCCAAUCUGGGGUGAUGUGGAGAGCCGCCACCAACUGUGCUUCCGGGUCAGGGACAGCCAAGUCUUCCUCUGUAGGCAACUUAACAGAAGGGUUAUGCAAGAUGUCCAAGAAGGUAUUAGGCGGCACCGGUUUUCGCUGAGAGCCCAGCCGGCUUAAUGCGUCAGCCGCCUCGUUCUUCCUGCGAUCGAUGUGCUCUACUUGGUAACCCUGGAAGUGUCCAGCAACGGCAUCAACUUCACGGUGAUAAGCCGCCAUGAGAGGGUCCUUGGAAUCCCACUUACCUGAUACUUGUUGAGCCACUAGAUCUGAGUCACCCAAACACCUUACUCUGCUCAAGCUCAUCUCCUUAGUCACCCGAAGACCAUGGAGCAAAGCCUCGUACUCAGCCGCAUUGUUAGUGCAUGGAAACAUCAACCGUAGCACAUAACAAAACUUGUCACCUUUAGGGGAAGUCAACACAACUCCAGCCCCCGAGCCCUCCAAUUUCCUAGACCCAUCAAAGUGAAUAGUCCAAUAGGUAUUAUCCGGCUUUUCUUCAGGCACCUGCAGCUCUGUCCAAUCGUUGAUGAAAUCCACCAAAGCUUGAGAUUUAACAGCAGUGCGCGGUACGUAUUUCAGGCCAUGAGGCCCAAGCUCUAUAGCCCACUUAGCCACUCUUCCCGUGGCUUCUCUGUUUUGGAUGGUAUCUCCAAGGGGAGCAGAACUAACCACAGUGAUGGGGUGACCCUGGAAAUAAUACUUAAGCUUCCGGCUUGCCAUGAACACACCGUAAACAAGCUUCUGCCAAUGGGGAUACCGCUGUUUAGACUCGAUGAGCACUUCACUGACGUAGUAAACCGGCCGCUGAACCGGGUACUCCUUACCCUCUUCCUUGCGCUCCACCACCACAGCCACACUGACGGCUCGUGUGUUAUCAGCUACAUACAGUAAUAAGGGCUCCUUGUCAACCGGAGCAGCAAGGACUGGGGGCUCAGCCAGCUGUCUCUUCAAAUCCUCAAAAGCAGUAUUAGCAGCAUUAUUCCAGACAAAAUCAUCAGUUUUCUUCAUCAACUGGUACAGUGGCAUGGCCUUUUCACCCAAAUGGCUUAUAAACCGGCUCAAGGCAGCGAUGCGGCCUGCUAGACGCUGGACGUCGUUGAUACAUGCCGGCUUAGCCAGAGAGGUGAUUGCCUUUAUCUUUUCCAGGUUAGCUUUAAUGCCUCUGUUAGAAACCAGGAAACCCAAGAGCUUGUCUGCAGGAACACCAAAAACACACUUGGCCGGGUUAAGCAUCAUCUUGUAAACCCGGAGAUUAUCAAAGGUUUCUCUAAGGUAAUCUACCAGGGUCUCCUUCUCCCUGGACUUAACCACGAUAUUAUCCACAUAGGCAUGCACAUUGCGCCCAAUCUGGUUAUGAAGACAAUUCUGCACACAACGCUGAUAAGUCGCCUCUGCACUCUUGAGUCCAAAAUGCAUAGACACAUAAUAGAAGGCUCCAAAGGGAGUGAUGAACACCGUCUUCUCCUGGUCCUUAACUGCCAUUUUAAUCUGAUGGUAUCCAGAAUAAGCAUCCAAGAAACUUAAGCGUUCACAACCCGCCGUAGCAUCAAUGAUUUGAUCAAUACGGGGGAGAGCAAAAGGAUCAGCCGGACACGCCUUGUUUAAGUCCGUGUAGUCCACACACAUCCGCCAGGUGCCAUUCUUCUUGAGCACGAGCACCGGGUUAGCUAACCAUUCUGGAUGAAAGACUUCGACAAUAAACCCGGCCGCUAAGAGCCGGGCCACCUCCUCACCAAUGGCUUUCCGCCUCUCCUCAUUAAACCGCCGAAGGAAUUGCCUGACCGGCUUAAAUUUCGGAUCAAUAUUGAGAGUGUGCUCAGCGAGUUCUCUAGGUACACCUGGCAUGUCAGAAGGUUUCCAUGCAAAAAUGUCCCUAUUCUCACGGAUGAACUCGAUGAGCGCGCUUUCCUAUUUUGGAUCCAGAUUGGCGCUGAUGCUAAACUGCUGAGAUGAGUCACCUGGAACGAAAUCAACAAGUUUAGUCUCAUCAGCUGACUUAAAUUGCAUUGCCGGCUCAUGCUCCGUGGUCGGCUUUUUUAGAGAUGUCAUAUCUGUUGGGUCAACAUUAUCCUUGUAAAACUUCAGCUCCUCUGUUUCACAAACAGAUUCUGCAUAAGCCGCGUCACCUUCCUCACACUCCAAGGCUAUCUUUCGGCUACCAUGAACCGUAAUGGUCCCAUUGUGACCCGGUAUCUUGAGCUGUAAGUAUACGUAACACGGCCGUGCCAUGAACUUGGCGUAAGCCGGCCGCCCAAAUAUGGCAUGAUACGGACUUCUUAUCUUGACCACCUCAAAGGUCAAUUUUUCCACCCUGUAGUUGUAUUCAUCUCCAAAGGCCACUUCCAAUUCGAUCUUACCAACUGGAUAAGCCGACUUACCAGGCACCACACCAUGGAAAACAGUAUUGGACUGGCUGAGGUUCUUAUCAAUCAACCCCAUACGACGGAAGGUCUCAUAAUAGAGGAUGUUGAUGCUGCUGCCUCCAUCCAUGAGCACCUUAGUGAACUUAUAUCCUCCCACCUGAGGAGCCACUACCAGGGCCAAGUGACCCGGAUUAUCAACCCGGGGAGGGUGAUCCUCCCUACUCCACACAAUAGGCUGCUCAGACCAUCUUAAAUAACGUGGAACCGCCGGCUCAACAGCAUUCACAUCCCUUUUAUGAAGCUUCUGAUCUCGCUUACACAGACUGGUGGUAAACACAUGAUACUGUCCACCAUUGAGCUGCUUUGGAUUGGUCUGGUAUCCCCCCUGUUGUUGUUGAUGACCCUGGCCGGACUGCUGAUUAAAGCCCCCUUGAACAUUCUGAGGAUUGGAAUUUGAGCCGCCGCCGGCGCCUGAGCCGCCGCCCGAGCCAUUGUUGCCAUUAAAGGCAUUGGAAUUCUUAAAGGCCUUCAUGAUUGUGCAAUCUUUCCAUAGAUGAGUAGCUGGCUUCUCGCUAGAGCCAUGCCUUGGACAAGGCUCAUUCAACAACUGCUCAAGCGUUGGGCCUGAACCGCCGGCUCGGGGAGGUGGCCUCCCUUUACGUCGCUGGUUGUUACCCUGUGAGCUGGCAUUGGCCACAAACUCCAUGCUGCCAUCAGCCUUACGCUUGUUACCUCCUUGGUUCGCCGGGUUAUGCUGAGGACCCUUGCCAUUGCCGUUCUUCUUUCCCUUCCCUGUCCUUUCAUCAUCUGACGCGGGGUCCUUGGUACUAUCAGAAUCGGCGUACUUGACGAGAGCCGCCAUCAGCGUACCCAUAUCAUUGCAAUCGCGCUUGAGCCGCCCAAGUUUCAUCUUCAGGGGCAGGAAACGACAAUUCUGCUCCAACAUUAAGACUGCAGAGCCGGCAUCCAUCUUAUCAGAUGAAUGUAUUAUCUCUUUGACCCGGCGAACCCAAUGUGUCGUAGACUCACCCUCCUGCUGUUUACAGUUAGUCAAAUCCACAAUUGACAUAGACUGCCUACAGGUAUCUUUGAAGUUUUGGAUGAACCAGGCUUUUAGCUCAGCCCAAGACCCGAUAGAAUUCGGCGGCAGCCCUUUCAGCCAAGUGCGGGCAGUCCCAUCUAACAUCAUGGUGAAGUACUUGGCCAUCGCCGCUUCGCUGACCUCCAGCAAUUCCAUGGCCAUCUCGUAACUCUCAAUCCAGGCUCCGGGUCGUAAAUCAGCCGUGUAAUUAGGCACCUUCCUAGGCCCUUUGAAGUCCUUGGGUAGACGUUCAUUGCGGAGAGCCGGCACUAAACAAGGGACACCUCCAGUCCUCGUAGGGAUACCCACGUCAACGGAAGCCGUCGGAUAAGCCGGGGGUGUCUGGUAAGCCGUCAACUGAGGCACCUGCUCCGCCUCUCGCCGUGCUCUGUCUUGGUCUGCUGCGUGAAAGGCCCCGUUAUGAGCCGGGCCGUGGCCAGGUGGCAAGUCAUGGCGUCAGACAUUACUUGAGCCGGUCGCUGAGACCAUAUGUCUGCUAUAACUCGGGCUCCGGCCUGGACGAGGGGUUGAAUGGAUCCUGUCCCGGCUAUAAGAGUACGCCUCUUGCUGCGCCAGAGCUGUCUGAAGGAGUUCUCUGACCCGGCGGGUUUCAAUCGCCGUUGGAGAGUCGCCAUCAAUUGGGAGAGCCGCCAGCCGUGCCGCCGCCGCGACCAUGUUUUCCAACGGGUUGGCAUAAUGACCCGGUGGUAUUGGCACGUACUGAGGCGGGGCAGGGUUCACCCGGGGAGGUCCCAUCACUUGGGGCUGAAUUGGUGUCCCAGCCCCGGGCACUAUGAUCUCCGGCGGGUUACUAGACCCUGCACCCGGCGUGUUGAAGAGGUUUCUAGGAUCGUAAACCGGAGGGAGUCGAGAUUGGGCCUUUUGAUGCCUCCUUCUCAUGACCUCAUUGGAUGCGUUUUGGUCCAUCGUGAGCCGGAAAGACUGUGCCUGAAUCAGCUGAGUCUGGGCGUCGAGAGCCACCCUCUCCGCAGCCAUCCUGAUCCAUUCCGCCGCCAGAUCCUCCUUGGCUUUUGCCAGAUCCAACUUUAGCUGCGCCACCUCCGCGUCAUGCUGAGCUUGAUCCGCCGGAGCCACCGUAGCGGUCAGCAAAGCCGUCAUUUUGUCUGUGAGAUCCAUCAGCACCUGAGCCGGCGAGGGCACAGGGCUUCCUGACCCGGUGGCGGGGUUUUGAACAGGUUGUGCGCCGGCCAUAAAGAUUCCAACCCGGCUUGGCGGCUCAAAGGGGUCCGGAAUACUGUCGCCAUCGGAACAGCCCCUGAGCCUGCCAUCUUGAAGUUGAUACAACGAGUUUGACUCAUCUGUGGACGACUCGCCGUCAGAGCCGGCGGUCGUCUCAUCACCAGAUCCAGAUCCAUCAGGGAGUCCUCCAUGGAUACAUCCCACAAAAGCAUGCUUCAAGGCAGGCAGGGCCCGGGCGGGUCGUGCGCGCUGAGCCGUCUCGACGAGAUCGGCGCAGAGAUCCGGCUCAGGGCCCGGCUCACCAAUCUUGCCAAUGAAAACAUGAAUUCCGCCGAAGGGGACCCGGUAUCCAUACUUGAUUGAGCCGGCAUCGGGGCCCCAGCUUGCAUCGUCGAUGUAGAGCUUGCCGCGACGACUCUUGGUCAUCCGGCCCACAGCGUAUCCCUUGAGCCCUUCGAAGCUGCCCUUCAAGAACUCAAAUCCACCGUGCGUUGGCCCCACGGUGGGCGCCAACUGUCGUGGAAUUGUCACGGCAGAUGUCCUCGUGCAAGGACUUAGUCGUGGAGCCAUCGCAGCUAGGAAGCUUAAAGGGGUUAAACGGGACAAGGAACACGAGGGUUAUACUGGUUCGGCCCCUUACGGUGAAGGUAAAAGCCUAUGUCCAGUUGAGGUGGUAUUGAUUAGGGUUUCGAUGACCAGGAGCUAAACCGCCCUGCCUGGUUUCGGUCUUCUCUUUUCUGCCCCUAAACCGCCGCCGGGUCAUCCCUUUAUAUAGAGAGGUUGACGCCCAGCGGCUCUCAGAGUCCCGUCCGGCUCAUAACACUGUCCGGCUCGGACUCUUAACUAUUCUUGCCUUACCCUACAAGUCUUGCCAUACGGCAGUUUACCACUACGGGCCUUAAGCCACCUCCGGGUCUUAAGCCCAUUAUCUAACCCGCCGUCUUCAAGCUUGGUACUGGGCUUCGCAUGAUGACCAUUAUGAGUAACCCGGCCCUUCCUGGGCGGGUGAUUCCAAUGGUUAUAUUCUCAACAGGCGGCGACCGGCGAACGGCGGCAGGGUCGGCGAUGGCGUCGGCGGUCGGCGGCGGGGACGGCGCGGGCCNNNNNNNNNNNNNNNNNNNNNNNNNNNNNNNNNNNNNNNNNNNNNNNNNNNNNNNNNNNNNNNNNNNNNNNNNNNNNNNNNNNNNNNNNNNNNNNNNNNNNNNNNNNNNNNNNNNNNNNNNNNNNNNNNNNNNNNNNNNNNNNNNNNNNNNNNNNNNNNNNNNNNNNNNNNNNNNNNNNNNNNNNNNNNNNNNNNNNNNNNNNNNNNNNNNNNNNNNNNNNNNNNNNNNNNNNNNNNNNNNNNNNNNNNNNNNNNNNNNNCGGCGGAGGAGCAACGGGAGGGACACGUGGCAGCGGGCGAUUGGGCGAGGGGCGGCGGCGGACGUGUCCGGCGGCUGAGGAAGAAGCGUCCGGCGGCGCGGAGGGGAAAUGAUCUAGGGUUUCGCCCGAAUUUCGGAGGGGGGGUGUUUAUAUAGGCAUAGGGAGCUAGGAGGCUCCAAAUGGAGUGUGGUUUUCGCCCACACGAUCGUGAUCGAACGACCUAGAGCAUGGAAGUGACUUAGAUGGGAUUUGGGCUGUUUGGAGGGGGGUUUUUCUGCAACACACAAAAGGACUUUGCGGUUACCCGGUUAACCGUUGGAGCAUCAAACGACCUCCAAAUGGAACGAAACUUGACAGGUGGUCUACCGCUGGUAUACCAAGGUCACUUGACAAGACUCGGUCCAUUCCAAGAACGUUCAACACCCGCUCACGAAAAGAAACAAAAAGAGGUGCGCCGGAGGAGGUGGGAGUGCCGGAUUGCAAAACGGACAACGGGGAAAAUGCUCGGAUGCAUGAGACGAACACGUAUGCAAAUGAGAUGCACAUGAUGACAUGAUAUGAGAUGCAUGACAUGAACAAAAUGCAAAACGAAAAACAAAACCCGACCACGAAGGGAAUAUCAUAACACAUAGCCGAAAAUGGCAAGAGUUGGAGUUACAAAUAUGGGAAGGUUACAUCCGGGGUGUUACAACACUCCACCACUACGAGGGGAUCUCGUCCCGAGAUCUAGGACUGAAAGAACUCCGGAUAUUCGGAACGGAGGUGGUCCUCGCGCUCCCAGGUGGCUUCUCGGUCGGAAUGGUGCGACCACUUCACUUUUAUGAAUUUAAUUGACUUGUUGCGAGUCUUGCGCUCAGUUUCUUCAAGAAUAGCAAUGGGGUGCUCAUGAUAAGACAGAUCUUCUUGGAGGUCAAUCUCUUCGAAGUUGAUGGUGCGUUCAGGAGUCUUGAAGCACUUCCGGAGCUGUGACACGUGGAACACAUCGUGCACGUUCGCGAAGUUGGAGGGAAGCUCAAGUUGAUAGGCGAGGUCGCCUCUUUUGCCAAUGAUCUUGAAAGGACCCACGUAUCUAGGGGCAAGCUUCCCUUUGAUACCGAAUCGACGAGUGCCUUUCAUUGGAGAGACGCGGAGGUAGACAUGGUCUCCGAUCUCGAAAGCCACAUCACGGUGCUUACUAUCAUAAACUCUUCUGGCGCGAUUGCGCGGCUUUGAGAUUUUCACGGAUGACUUUACACAUUUCUUCAGCCUCUGUGAUUAAGUCAUUGCCAAGAAGUUGGCGUUCACCAGUCUCUGACCAAUUGAGAGGAGUACGGCACUUUCUGCCAUAAAGAAUCUCCAAUGGGGCCUUGCCCGAACUCGCUUGGAAGCUGUUGUUGUAGGUCGGCAUAUGGAAGACAAUCUUCCCAUUUCAUGCCAAAGGAAAUGACACAAGCCCUGAGCAUAUCUUCAAGAAUUUGAUUGACUCGCUCGACUUGGCCACUAGUUUGAGGAUGGAAAGCUGUGCUGAAGCGAAUGUUGGUGCCCAUGGCCUUCUGGAAGGAGUCCCAGAACUUAGAAGUGAAGAUGCUUCCACGAUCUGAAGAAAUCAAUUGUGGAAUGUUGUGCAAGGAGACAAUCA